CAAAAAGAAGUGGCAGCUCCUUGAGACGAUGACCCGUACUGUGGAAACCCCAUACAUCUUUCAGUUGCAUAAAAGGCAGCACCUGGUGUCUGAAAACCAACCAGAAUUGUACUGGAAGAUGAUGAUUUUGGGUGAUGCGAAACAGUUCCAUCAACCAUGGGAGUAGCCAUGUUCCAUGGCUGUUGAAAACCAACAUAUUCAAAAUUGCAGUCCCUACUGAACCCAAGGUUCUGUUCUACAUUUUCUUGGUAAUCAAGCUUCUGAGUGUUCAUUUACAAAUCAAAAGUAAUCAAAGAUGGCACCAGCGAGUGAGUGUAGUAUUGAAUGAAUUAUAAGAUGAAAAAGUCACGCAGAAUACGCGCAAAAAUCAAAGGAAAGGAGAUGCAGAUAAGAUGAAGGAGAACCAUGGCAGUGUGAUGAAGAAUUCAGAUUUAUGGUAGCAAAAUUCUGAUUUAUAUUCCUCAAUGACUUGAAGUUUAAGAUAUGAUGAAUACAACAAAAAAAAAAAUAUAUAUAUAUAUAUAUAUAUAUAUAUAAUAUUUAUUAUUAUACAUUUAAUGGAUUGGAAUGAACAUUCAUCUAUUGCCAAUUUGACACGACCGAAGCCAAUACAUUAAUAUAUUCCAGAUAAUAAUAAAUUAAAAUAAAGGUAUUGUCCUUGUUUGAGAAAACUGAUUCACAAUAUAAAAUUUACGUUUCCAACUUUUCAAUAAUCAAAAGUAGAAAUAAGACAAAAAAGCCAAGUCUAUAAAACAUCAAAACCAAAGGAUUUAUAGCCUUCAUAAUUCAAAAAAGAUACCAGCAUAAAUUCCAAUUAAAUAGCAUUAUUCUUUUGUUUUAUCAUUUUCCCAUUUCAAAUGGGGUAUCUGAAAUUACCAGAAAAAAGGGAAAGUUGAUGGAGUACUAUUAUACCAAUAUAUCUCAAAAGUGGGAGUCGAUUCUCAACUGUAAGAUUCGGAAACAUGUUGAAAACCCCAUCUCCAUUUAAGAUCAUCCAAUUACUUCGGAUGAUACCAACUUCAUUAAUUAACCUCUUUAUCAUUUUUUUUUAUUUCAUCUCUAAAGUUAAAACAAUGGAAUCUAGCCGAUGUUUUACGUAUAUAUACUUACAUUGAGAUAGAAUCUUUCUCUAAAUGUGUAUACAACCAACUUCAUGCCAAUGAAUGUUUGGCUAUAAUUGUUAAAUAGAAUUACCUGUCAGGUUGGAUUAAGGCUUCCUGUCCAUUCUCACUGCCUUUCAGUGUAGUGAGUUUCGGCAAAUUUAUAAUUUUGUUGCUUUUGGAUAAUAAAGGACUAGUUAGUAUCGGGUCGUUGAUCAAAUCGGUUCAAUUAAUAUAUUGGUUUUAAUUGAGUAAAUUAUUAAAAUUUUUUUAAAAAAAAUUGACUCAAUCAAUCUAGAUACGUGGUUGAAUCGAUCGAUUUCUGGUCCGAUUAGUGUUUGAAGUCCUUUUGACUGUACUUGAGUAGGGGUGUUUAAAUUUCGGUUAAAAAUUGAACUGAUCAAAUUCGAUUAACCGAUCUAAUUUGGUUGGAGAUCAGUUAAUAAUUUUUUAUAAGUUCGGUUAUUGGUUAAUUCUAUUCAAAAUCGGGUAAAUAACUGAAUUAACCAAACUUAAUAAUUAAUAAUACAAAUUAUAUGUAGUUUUAAAUCGAUCAAAUGAACAUUAUCAAUUUAUUUAUUUUUUAUAUGGUUUAUACUUAUUUUAACCAAAUAAGAGAUAAAAACAUAUAAAUUUUGAUUAAUUCGGUUAACAAACCUAAUUAAUUGAAAUAUUUCGGUUAAUUCAGUUAGUACUAGUUCAAUUCGGUUAACCGUUUAUUUGGGUUGAACUACUAGUGAAUAAAUUGCUCUCCCAUUAAAACAAUUAAUAAUUGUAAAAUUUAUAAAAAUAUAUUCAAUAAAUUAGUGAAUAAUAUUUCCACCCAAAUCAAUAAGUAAUUGAAAUGAUUUUAAUUUUAUAUAAUUAAUUAUUUUAUUACAUUAUAAUUCAAUAAAAAUAUAUUCUGUUACUAUAAUUAAUAUGAUCAAUUAAAAUAAAAUAACCUUAAAAAUAUCAAUUAAAAUAAGUAAUCUCAUAAAUAAUAAAAAAUACAAAAUAAUGUUUUUUUUAAUUUUUAUGUUAUUAAUUUAUAAAUAGGUAAACUGUACAAAUGGUCACCCAACUAUACUCACAUUCUUGUUUUGGCCACCCAGCUUUAAAAGUUUUCAAUUUAUGCACUAACGUUUGUAUUUAUUCCUAUUUUAGUCACCUACUGUUAAAUUGAUAACAAAAAUAAUGAGGUGAUCUUUUUCUAACUGGUAUAAUAACACAUUUAGUCCUCAAUACUUACAUAUUAUAUUAAUUUGAUCCUAAUUCUAAAUAAUUCAAUAAAUUUAACCCUUCACAUUUAAAAUUUUUAUCAAUUUGAUCCUCAAACUUCCUAACCAAAGCUUUCAACUUUUAAAAUAGACACAUUCCACGUCUAUAAAUUUGUAAAACCCCAAACAAAAAAUUAUUAUCUAUGGUUCUAUAUGUUUCCUAGGAUACUUGCACCAUUAGCUCGAAAUUAAGAUAUCUAGUUAAUUGUAUCUACUUACCAAAUGUUUAAAACGAUGUAAAAAGUCCCCUUUUUGCUUUGGUUUUUAUAUUUCAAUUGACUAUAGGUACAAUAUUUCCAAGGUUUUAAUUAGUAUUGCUCUUUUAUGUUAUAAAUCUCACUUCGGGGGUUUACUCCUGUCAAAGGAGUACUUUUGCUAGCAUCUCACAUUUAGUAAAAUGAUAGGUCCAUAAGUAUUUUAGUUUUAAAAAAUUAGUGUUUGUCACUCCUUGUCAAGGAUCAAUAAGUGAAUCUGCAAAGGAUAAUAUAGUCCUAUGACUCCACCUCCGAAUAAAGAACACCCUCACAACUUUGUCUAGCCAACAGGAAUGGGUUAUUCAUUAUCAAAUUCCCCAGAUCACUGUCCAAUGUAAUGUAACAACCCACUCGGUGAAGUCUCUGUACCUAAUUACUGUUUGGCAUAUAGUUGGUACAAUAAGGGCAGAUAAAAGUAAGUGUUUGUUUGUUUAGGAUAGGUAUAGAGUUGUGAGUGUUAUGCCAAUUGGAGAACUCUUAGUCUUGGCAAGAUCUGUGGUUUAGCGAACUCUUCUGUUAAAUAUACGCCACCCUAGAUACUUUGGCGAACUAGUCAAGUUCGCAACUGAUUAGAUUUGUUUAUUAUUUUAGUAAGGUAAUCAGUAGUUAAGUUGAAAUUUAGUUAGAAUGAAACUAAGCUACUGUAGAUGAAAAGACUUAAAUUAUGAUAAGUGUACUUAAUCACGAGAAUUAAGAGUGUUAGUGGAUUUUAUUUGAUUAUUUCACUAAACCUUGUAUCCAUGCUUAAAUAUAUAAUAAUAGCGGUGACUUCUCUGAAAAUCUUUGCAUCUUUUUUGUUUUCUUCUUUCUUCUUGAUUUUCUUUGAACUCUCUGAAAGCUAAAGUCCAGAAAACCUCUCUGAAAUUGGGUUCGCUGUAUUCAACUAACUUAUACGUUUGUACCAGCUCACUGGCAAUUAUUGAUGAACCUUAAGUUAUCUUUAAAGUUAUUUACGUGUUUUUAGUUCUACAUGCAUAAAUGUUUGAAUAGUGUGUAAGGAAGGAAUCUUCCUGAUUUUGGAUUAAGUGUUGAUGAUUCUUGCAUACAUGUUUAGAUUUGAUAGAUCAGUGAUAUGAUAUGUAUAAUUAUCCUCAUUUUUAGCUUAAGAAGCUACUGAAGGUCCGAGUGAUAAAGGCAAUAAACCUGUUUAUAAACUUUGCUAUAAUUUCUUGUGAGUUCUUUCUUAUUUCCAUGUGUUAUGGCCUUUUUUUUAUUUUAUAAUUGUAUAAGGUAAGUAUUCUUUCUUUGUAAAGGAUGAAAAGUGUAUGUGUGUGAAUAAUGGUUGUCCAAAAUCAUUAGUUUGAGUUCAAUAUGUCUGUGAUAUGAAGUACGGGUCAUUUUUCAUGUUUAACCCACUACCAAUUACUUCUGAUAUGUGGAGAUAGAGAUGAGGAGAUAUGUUUGUGUAGUCUCUAGUAAGGUAGGUAUAUUGCAAACCGGAUUGACAGAACACCAUCAAACAUGCUAUACUGAGUGAAAAUGAUAUAAGAAGUUAUGGUGAAGAAUGUAUAUGAAUGAGAUCGUAAGUUAUGUAUUUGACUCUAAAAUCUAGGUACGUGGCUGGCAUGAGAAAGAAUUGUCUGAGUUAUGUUGAGUUGACGUAUAGUAUUCGCCUAUGUGAUACACCAUUGGUGUGCUGAUUCUAUCUGAGUUCUGCAUACGCCUUUGGGAGUACUCUAUGUUAAUGUGUGAAUUCCUUUUUAAAGAUGCAAUUGUGCAGUUAACUUUCUUACUUAAGAUCUCUUUGGAACUUACUAAGUUCAUACGAACUUUCUCGGUUACUUUUUCCUUCCCAGGCUUAUUGACUGAAGGAAGCCUUAUCUGAAGGACUACGCCAAAGCGUUGUUGCUAUGUGAGAUAGAUGCUUUGUUUUUAUUGUGCAUGAAGCGUGGGGGUGACAUCUAAGUGUAUUUUUUAGAAGAACUCGUAUAAAGAACUUUUGUUUGUUAAAAUUUUGUUUUUAUAAAAUCUUAGUGAAAUUUCAUGCUGUGGAUAUUAAGUAUUAUAUGUUGUUUAAUAAUGUUACUAUACUAUACUAUACUAUACUAUACUAUACUAUACUAUACUAUACUAUACUUGAGUUUACACGCCAUUAGAUUUAAACAUUAUAUUUAAUCCAAUAAUGGUUUAAUUCAAACAUUGAAGUUUUACAAAGCUUUUGCCAGAACUGGUUUCAAAUUUAAGAUGAUUUCUAAGUAAUGACACGUCAUACUCGGAUUCUUUUAACGGAUCGGGUUUGGCAUGUUAUAUGCAAUCUCGCCAAUCUUACGACUCAACUGUUCUUGCAUCAACACCAAAACUCUCCAGCAUUAAUGGAGCCAAGACUAAUAACAAUCUCAGAAAAUAGCUCGUUAGUAAAUUUAUAUAUGUGGAAUGUUUCUAUUUUAAAAAUGAAAAGCUUUGAUUAGGAAAUUUGAGGAUCAAAUUGAUAAAAUUUAUAAAUGUGAAGGGUUAAAUUUAUUGAAUUAUUUGGAAUUAGAAUCAAAUUGAUAGAAUAUGUAAGUAUUGAGGACUAAAUGUAUUAUUAUACCAAUUAGAAAAAAGCCAUCUCAUUAUUUCCGUUAUCAAUUUAACGACAGGUGAUCAAAACAUAAGCAGAUAUAAACUUUAGUGCCUAAAUUGAAAAAUUUUAAAGUUAGAUGACCAUUUGUAUAGUUUACCCUUUAUAAUUUAAUAUAAAUAUAAUAUUAUUUAUCUAUUAUAUAUAAAUCUUUCAUUUCUAUUCCAACUUCACCAUUGCAGCUACGCUUGAAUCCAAACACACAUCUCACCACUAAUUUUAGUCUCAUAGCUACCAUAUUAAUCUUACCAUUACAACAAUUAAUCUCACCACCAAUACUAUUUUAAAAUUUAUUGAAACUUGAAUUUAUCCUUUUUAAAAUCCCUUUGUUAGAGAUUGUGUGACUCAAAUUCCGCACUUGUUGAAGAAAUAAAUACAGUGGCAAAAUAAGAGAAUUUGUAGGGCGAAAGGUCGAGGGCCUUACAACACAAGUUAAAUACAUAUAGAACUGUUCUUCUUCUAUUUGACUUUGAUUAGAACAGGGCUUUUUAACCCUUAAAUAGAUGUAGUCGAAACUACUAUUGUAUCAUUCAUUUUUCAACAUUAGUGAAUUUCUCCUCUUCUGCAUGUGAUUUUUUUCCUGAAAAAAUUUUCAUGCAAAAUCUAUGUGUUCUUUUUUAUUAUUAUUAUUUUACAAUCGUUCUACCGCCAUUAUCAAUGUUUAUUAUAACACCCUUAUCAAAAAUCUUGUCCAGAUGAAUAAGUUCGACAUUGGAGAUAUUUUGGGCAUCAUAUAAUCAUGUCAUAUAGCUUAAAGAUUGAUUAUAUACCAAAAAAAUACAAAAUAAAAAAGAUAUUUUUUAAGUUAUACAAUUUAGUCGUUACACAUAAUGCCAUCUCAUAAUUGAUGUUGAAAUUUUGUUGGAUUUCACAUAUUUAAUUAGGGUUUGAAUUUUGGAAUAGUAAGUGACAAAAAUAACACAACUAAUUCCUAAUCAAAGUUGUGAUAAAUUCACAAAUCACAUAUGAAUAAAGAGGGUUUUUUACAAUAAUAUUAUAAAAAAUAAAAAUUUAUCAAAAUAUUAUAACUUUUUUUAUUUACCAAAAAAUAUUUUUUUAUUUACCAAAAUAUAUCAAAAAAAACUUAAAAAAAACCUGCAAAAAAAAUCAGAUCGAUGUGACUUUUUACUGGUCACGCCAAUGGGAUUGGCGGCACCAAAGGUGCCUAAACCAUUGGCGGCACCAAUGGUGCCAAUACCAUUGGCGGCACCAGUGUAUAUUAGGGGGGGUUCGGUGGUGGGGGGACCAGAAGGAGAGGGAAAGAAAGAAAGAAAGAAAGAAAGAAAGAAAGAAAGGAGAGGAAAGAAAGAAAAAGAAGGAAAGAAAAGGAAAGGAGAAGAGAAAAAAAGAAAGAAAGAAGAAGAAAAGGAAAGGAGAAGAAAAAAGAAAGAAAGAAGGAAAGAAAAUGAAAUGAGAAGAGAAAAAAAAAGAAGAAGAAGAGAAAAGGAAGGAAAAAAAGGUAUUUUUUGAUAAAUUUAAAUUUUUUUCUAAUAUUUGUGUGUUUAAAAUUUAUGUUACGUACAUUAUAGUUAUUUUAUUAUUUUGUUUAGCAUAUAUAUUUUUAUGAAAUAUAUUUAGAAUGAAAAAAUAAUGGUAUGUACAUUGUAUGUUGAAUAGGGAUUUUUUUUUUAUGAAAUUUACUUAGGAAUUUGAAAUUUAAAUUUUAGGAAAAUAGCUUUAAAAGUAAAAUGACAAAGAAGUAUGUUUAAGAAAACAUAAAAUAUGAUAGUAAGAAAAAAAUGGGAAUUGUAUAUUUAUUGAAAAUAAUAAAAUGCGAAUAAAAAUGCGAAAAAUGUACAUGUAAUAAAUUUCAAACAUAAUAAAUUGAAAUAAUGUAAAAUUAUAAAAUAAAAAAUUACGAUAUUUUUAAAAAUAAUAAAAUGAGGAUAAAAAAUACGAACAAAUGGCCGAAUUAAGAGUGUAUUAGUAAAUUUUUUUAAAAAUUUAGAAAUAAGUUAUACAAAUAAUUGAAACAAAAUGUACUGAAAUAAUAUAAAAUAAUAAAAUACGAAAAUAAUAAAUUUUUCUUGAAAGUAAUAAAAAUCGGGAAAAUAAUAAUACGACCAAAUGUCAGGGGAAAGGGUUUAUUUCGGGGUUUUUACCAAAAUAUUACAAAAAAUAAAAAAAUACGAAAAUAUUAUAAAUUUUUUUUAUUUACCAGAAUAAUGGGUUUUUACAAAUAUAUUAAAAAAAUUAAAAAUAACCAAAAUGUUAUAAGUUUUUUUUAUUUACCAAAAAAUAUAUUUUUUUUAUUUAUCAAAAUAUAUAAAAAAAACCUGCAAAAGAAAGGGUGAUGGUUAUUUUUUUACAGAAAAUUAAUACGAGCAAAGGGCAGGGGUAAGGGUUAUUUUUUACAGAAAAUUAAUUUAAAUAACACACUAGAUUAAUAAAUUUCAAACAUUAUGCACUGGAAUAAUGUAAAAUUAUAAAAUUUUAAAUUAUGAUAUUUUUUAAAGGAAUAAAAUGCGAAGAAAAAAAUACGAAUAAAUGGCCGAAGUAAGAUUUUUUUACUAACUUUUUUUUCAACUUGCAGGCAUCGCAAUGGCUGGAUUGAUUCGAAGCAAUAUUAGACACAUAUCUGAUGCGGCUAAUAACGCGGUAUGAUUUAUUAUUUGUUAAUCAGGAGUUCUAUUUAUUUAAAAAGGAUAUACGCAGUAUAUACAAAGAAAUUAUGUUAUCGUAAUAUUUUUUCUAUAAUUUAACAUUAUCAGGACUCGUUUCGAGUAUUAAGGGGUCGUGUGAGUGUUUUAAAGAUGGCUCCGGAUGAUCGAUUGCUGCCGUAUCUGGAGGUAGCCGGAUUUGGGUCAGUAGCAUUGAUCCGGUCGUCCGACUUGCGCUUUGAUUUAUUAUCUGCGCUAGUGGAGCAGUGGCGUCCGGAGACCCAUACUUUCCAUUUUUCGUGCCGGGAGUGCACGGUGACCUUGGAGGAUGUUGCAGUGCAACUGAGGCUCCCAAUUGACGGGAGUCCCGUAACGGGAGUAUCGUCAUUCACUAAUCCGGCUGCAGUUUGCUAUCAACUCCUAGGAGAGUCGCCAAAGGACGGCGACAAAUAUUUUUCCGGCAUCAAAUUUACAUGGCUAAAAGCCAAAAUUAGACAAUUAUCAGCGACCGCCACUGAAGGUAAGUUGAUGUACGUUGCUCGAGCGUACAUCAUGCAUAUGAUAGGGGCAGUACUCAUGCCUGAUGCAAACGGCGACUGUGUGCAUUUGUCGUACCUCCCCCUGCUAGCUGAAUUCUCCACUGCCACUGCAUUUGUCGUACCAUUCUAGCAACGCUCUACCGGGAGCUUUGUCGGGCGACAGAGCCACAGGUUAAAGACAUCGGCGGAUGCCUCAUACUGCUGCAGUCGUGGGCGCUUUAUCAAAUGCCGUUUUUGGCAUGCGUUAGUCACCAACCCUAUCUGUAUCCACUGCCACUCAGGUGAUAAGACGCUAAAUUGUCAUUAUUUGUAGUAAUAAUAUAUUGAGUAAUGUUACCAACCCUAAACCCUAUACUAUUUUUUGUAGGUGGACGACCCGUCCUGGCAUCGGAAAGUCGUCUGAUGUCCUGAUAUACCGCCUGAGGAUUGAACAGCAUGCCUGGGAAGGGGUAAGCUGCUAUUCUAAUAUUCAUGAUAUCUAUUCUAUUUCUAUAUCUUAAUCACAUGUUAUCGGUCUAACUUGUUACAAUGUUAUUACUUAUGCAGUUUAUAUGGAUGCCAUACCGGAGGUUAGAAAUUACAAAUGUCGUACCCUAGUUCGCACUUGUUGAUUCCCACAUAUGGUGUACUAACACACCAAUUAUAAAUUUCAACGUCGUCGAGUAGUAUCACGGCGAUCGGGUGCUUCGGCAGUUUGGCUGCAUUCAACCUAUCCCGGAUCCGCCGGCCCAGUUGGGGGAUGAUCACGACUUGACAAAGAGAGGAAGAGUUCAAUUGGACUAGGGAAUUAAGCACCGGAAAUACGUCGCACUGUGGAACAAUCGAUUGCGCCGAAUUCCUCAGAUGGUUAUGGCUACCGACCUGCAACCAUCAUUGGAGUAUACAUAAUGGUACCAUAGCUGCGGGAAGCCAUAUUUACUUGGAGGGCAAUCGACUGUAAUCCCCCCUACGUGCAGCAAGUUGGGGGAUCGGACGCAGCGAGCGAGCUGGAUCCGGAUCUGAUGGCAUAUUAUUCUCCGCAACAGGCAAAGCCCGAGCAGGACCCCCAGCCAGAUCCCGGACAAGCACAGUCAAAUAUGGAUUCACAUGGCUAUCGUCCGAAUUUGGUGGGCGGUGAAUAUUAUCCGAGCUUCGCAGAGGGCGAAUACGCCUACGAGUUUGAACUGUUUGGAUCCCCUCAGCCGCAGUACGGCAUGCCCAGCCCAUCCAACACGUAUCCACAGCAUUAUGGGAGUCAUGAUGGUUCAAGUUCGUCGGCGGCGAACUAGCAACACGACCUUUCCUCUAUGUUUUCCACGCCCCCACCUGCGGACGAUGAGGAUGUUAGUCGUCGCCCAGGCCGUGAGCGUCGACCUCCGCGUAGGUAUACCCCCCGGACAACACCAUCGAACCAUCAAUUUUAGGGGUUUAGGGUAUUUUUUGUAUAAAUUUAAUAUUUGUAUUUUAAUUAUUGGUUACUUCUGAAUUUUUUGUAUAAAUAUCCAUUAUCCUAUUUUUUCAUUAUAUUAAAGCUCAAUCGAAUUAUGAAUGCCUCUAUUUUCGCUAUAAUCUUAAUAAUUCCAAAUACGCACAUGGUAUUUUAUAACUUAAUCUGCAAACAAUUUGGAUACAAUUUAAGCGUAAGCAUUAGCCGAAUAAAAAAAUUUAUUAUUAAUAAAAUUACCUUUUAUAACAAUAUACAUAAAAAUUUUACAGCAUUAGCUCAAUUUCGACUCGAUCCCGACGACUGCCCAACAUGAAAGUUUCGGUUAGGGCAUUUGUUCCUAUUAUGACCACUUAACCUGCAUAUUCCACAACGCUUUUCGUCAGAUUUCUCCCUAAUGUCCAUCUCAUUACGGAUUCUGCUUGACUGCGGACGACCCCUUGGAUUCCUCCGUAGCCCUCUAUCUGGGACAAGCUCGAAAGUGAUCGGCGGCACCUCCCACGUAGAUAGGUUCGGCAGGACGGGGAACUCAUUCUCCCAGACACGCAAUGUGUGCUCUAGCGUGUACACAUCAUCGACAUAUUGUUCAACAUCAAGGUUGACUUUAGCAUACGCUGCCACGACAUGCGCAUAGGGAUAAUGAAGUGUUUCGAACCUCUUACAUUCGCACCGUCUGUUUUGGAGAUCAACUCCGUAUGACCUAGUUGGUAUACCAGGUCGACGACUGAUCGAAACGUUUCCAGUCGUCGUGAAUAUAUUUCCACGCUUAUUGACCUCGCAAACCGACGGUUUACGACCAUUGUAUCCCGGAUAUGUUCGACAAACACAUGUCCCGCCUGAAUCUGGUCGACUUACUGCUGACCCAUUCUUGGCAUCAAAGUAGCCAGCCUGUAGAAAGUAGCAGAAAAUACCGAUGCAAUCGGAAGAUGACGUGUUUUCAACAAGACAGCGUUGAUCCCCUCCACUAAGUUUGUGGUCAUGUGGCCAUAGCGAAAGCCCUCGUCAAAACUUUGAGCCCACUGCCACGGCUCCAUUGUGCGCAACCAUUCUCAGAAAGAUGUGUUUGUCUGCCCCUCCAUGUCACUCUCAAGUCAGAUUAUUCUUUGCCGGAAAAUAUGUGGCUCUAACUCGUACGCUGCAUACGAAAAAUAAGUUCUAGUAAGUCGAUAACAUCAAACAUUACAACUUAUAUUGAAAAGAUAAGGUUAUCAUUUACCCAUUGCCACGACUUGUUUCUUCCAAUCUGCAUUCUUAUAAUCUUUAUGGAAGUUAGACACAAUGUGACAAAUGCAGUAAACGGAUCUCCACGGCACACCGGAACGCCUAAUAGCUGUAAUUAAACCCUUCCCUCUAUCGGAGAUGAUGCAAAUGUUAUCGUUCCUAAUAACAUACCUCCGCAGGUUUGUGAGGAAGAAUUCCCAAGACUCUAUGUUCUCUUUAUCUACGAUAGCAAAUGCUAUCGGGAGCACGUUUCUGUUACCGUCUUGAGCAACUGCAAGAAGUAGUAUCUGUGUAUAUUUUCCAUAUAGCCAGGUCCCAUCCACCUGUACAAGUGGCUUGCAGUGGGGAAAUGCCCGCACACAUGGAUCGAACGUCCAGAACAUCCGAUGAAAAAUCCUUUUUGCUGGCUGUAACUGGUCAUCCGGGCCGUAAUAUGGACUUGUCUGCAACUCAAUCACAGUCCCCGGUACGUACUCCCGCAUAGCAGCUAUCUAACCUUGAAGCUCGUUAUACGACGAAUCGUAAUCUCCAUACAGUUGCUCCAUCGCCAUCUGUUUAGCUAUCCAUGCUUUCCGAUAUGAGACUCGAUACUAGAAUCGUGCUUGCAUUUUUGCAAUGAGUACAUAAACUUUAAUGGUUCGCAUGUCCUUCACCAUUGGCAUGAUACACGUACAAAUAGUUUUUGAAUCAAGUUUUCCAUGAUCUUCUGUCAUACGUGUUGAUGUGCAUGUAUGAGGACCAACAAAUUUUCGUAUAUCCCACAUCUGAGAACUUCUAAUGAAUGCAGCUCGUACCCGCCAAUUGCAGCCUUCCGCUGCCUUCCAACACUCCCCAACAUAUAUUGUCGGAGUAGACACGGAGACUUUAUAAUCCACCGAUAUCUUCAUGCUUUAAUGGCAUAUACGCAUUCUUCUUUACAGCUGAAUCUCUGGCAUAUGAAUAACUCAUCAUCAUCAGAUGUUACGGCCAGCCUGUGAGAAUGAACUAUUUCAGGGUACUCCGGAAACUCAGAUACAGACGCUGCGUCGGGGUUUAUGAGCGACAUGUGUGGCCCAGGAUUAUUGUGUAUCACAAUACGCCGCAUCUGCUCCCCGACCGAAGAAGCGUUAAUGCCUUCAUCGUUGUUGACAUCUUCAGCGUCAAUAUCAUCAGGUACAUCGUCCACAUCGGGAUCAGCGUCACUAUCGACCUCUUCAUCCCAAUGAUCGCCACCACCUUCUUCUUCGCCGGUACCUUCUUCUUCACCACCAACCAUGUCAACAUCGGGUUUAAUAUUCAGGUCGAUACCGAACCCACCCAUAGUUGAUUCACUAUCGACGUAUGAUAUUGGAGCCACCAUCCGCGGUUCUUCAGCCCUGUCUUCUCCAUCAGAUGCAUUUUGCUCCAUACCGACUAACUCAGCAAAUAAGUGAAUCGGUGCAUUCUUCUCACUCUCAUUCCCACAGUAGAGAUUGACCAUUGUCUCCAAGUCUUCGUCGUCUACAAGUUCCAUUUCGACGAAUUUGACUGGAUUUGUCGAAACUGAAAACUUGUAGAAAAUUUUUGAUAUCCUUCUCCCACAAUGUCUAUGGAUUUUUGCAUUAAUCCUUGCCUUCAUUUCAUCGAACGAUACAUUUCUAUUAAAUCUCAUUGCUAUUUGUUGCCGACAUUCAAAUACACAUCCAACACUUGUUGUCAAUAUGACUCCAUCGAAAUAAACGCAUAUAAGAAACUUAGCAUCCAUCGUCAAUAUUUAAUCUGUAAAAAAAAAACAAAAUCUCAUAAAAAUUCUCGAACGGUAACUAAAUUACUUAAAAAAAUUAUACUCUAAAUAAUACACAAAAUAAUACACACUAAAAUUAUUAAUUUUAUACUCAAAAUAAUAUUAAUAAUUUUGUACUCAAAAUAAUACACACUAAAAUUAUUAAUUUUACUAAAAAUAAUAACUAACUAACUAACUAUAAGAAUACUAGUUUUUUACUGACUAGUUUAUUUUCGUAAAUAAAAAUAAUAAGUAACCAUAAUAAUAAUACUAGUUUUUUGCUAACAAUAAUAUUACUAAGUUACAUCUUAAUACAUUAACAACAACAACAACAACAACAACAACAACAACAACAACAACAAUAAUAAUAAUAAUAAUAAUAAUAAUAAUAAUAAUAAUAAUAAUAACAAUAAUACAUUUUGAGUUUUAUUAAUCUUAAUAACUAAACUAAAACAAAAAAAAAAUAUUACAAAAUAUACAAAAUAAUAACAACAAUAUAAUCAAUUAUUUUUUUAAAAAUACCUUCUUUUUCUCCUUUUUUUCUCUCUUUUUCUCUUCUUUUCCGCAGCAACUCUUCUUCUUCUUCUUUUCUUUUGAUUUUUCUCUCUUCAGCUGGACAGAGGUCGUAUUUAUAAUACGAGUAGUGCCGCCAAUUAGUAUGACACCAUUGGUGCCGCCAAUGGCAUUGGCACCAUUGGUGCCGCCAAUCCCAUUGGCGUGACCAGUAAAAAGUCACAUCGAUUUGAUUUUUUAAGUUUUUUUUGAUAUAUUUUGGUAAAUAAAAAAUAUUUUGGUAAAUAAAAAAAAUUAUAAUAUUUUGGUAAAUUUUUAUUUUUUUAUAAUAUUAUUGUAAAAAAACCCGAAUAAAGAAGAAAGAAACAAAAAGUGGAAACAAGAAAAAGGUAAGGUGACAUUUUCAAUAGAGUGCAUCCAAAGCAGCAAUGCACUAUAAACGAUGAUAAAUUUUUAAUUAAUUAAUUUCUGCAUGGGAAGCUUCGGAAAACUCAUUUGGCUUUUUUUCUGGUUUAGGAUACGGAAUUAUUAAUAAAUCUUAAUUAUACAAAAAGGUGCACAGGUUUAAGAUCUGACGGCAAAUAAAUCUAGAUUCUUUAGUUUAUUUUUAGGGUGGUUUUCAUCACAUGAUAUAAGAUGCAUUCCAUAAUUAAAUAAUUUUAUAUAUUAAUUGAUUGAGUUUUAGUUCGAUUGAUAUGAGCAUUGUUAUUAAUAUAGGAAGAUAUAGAUUCGAGUGCAUUGAAGCACAUUAUUCUCUUUAUUAAUCGGUUAAGAAGAGGCUAUGGAUAAUUUUAGUAUGGUGAUUCCUGCCUCCAUAAUACAUACUUUUAUUUUACAUUUUUACCCUCAUACAAUUUUACAAAUCCCUUCCCUUGAAGACAUUGAAGCACAUCACACCAGGGGCGAAAUCAGAAUUUUUUUUAGGAGAAUCGAAAUUAAAUUGUAAUUUUUACGAUAGUAAAAAUACAAUUUCACCAUUUUAAUAUUCUAUAUCUUUAUAUUAUAAUUUUUAAAAGAUUAAUUUAUCAUUUUCAGAAGAGUUAAAGUACAUUUUUACUUUUACUUAAAUAAAAAAAUUUCUAUCGUAGGUAUAUAGUUAUGCCCCUGUAUCACAUAUAAAACAUCCAAAAUAUAAAUACUUAUAAAAAAAAUGUGCUCUCCGCAACAGUAGAUAAUAAAGAAAACAAGAGUAAAAGUACUAAAUUGUAAAAAGAAAAAACUUAAAUAUCAAAUUUAAAAAAAUAAAUGUGAAGUUCAAAUACAACUUUGUAAUAAAUUGUCUCAACAAUUUGUUAUAUUGUUUUAUUAUGAAUGGUCAUGCCUCAAAUACAUUCCGACUGUAACGAGGGAUGGCCAUCUAUCCUAUUCCUAUUUGUGUUAUGUGGGGAGUAGAUUUUACAAGUCAACCUAAAAUUUUAGACCCGUUUUUUAAGUUCAGGUUCGACUCGAAAAAUAGGUUUAAAAUUUUAUUCAAAUUUGACUCAUAAUAAAAAUGUUAAACUCGAGUUCGACCUAGUCCACCCGUAUUAAUUUUUUAAAUAAAAAUAAAUUUAAAAACAUAUAUAAUACAUCAAAUACACUAAAAACAUUAGAAUAAAUGUCUCCUAACAAAUUGAAAAUACAUUAAAAAGUCUUUAUACUUAAAUAUAGUAAGAUAGUUGCAGCGUAGCAAGCAAAUGCUUCAAAAAUAGUAUCAAAAUUAAAAAAAAAUAAAAGGUAUAUAACAUUCAAACAAUAAUAACAAAAUAGUAUUAAUAUAAUAAUAAAAUGAUAGUAAAAUAGCAGCAAACCAACAACAAAACAACUUCUUCGAGCUCGGGCUAAAAAAUCCUACUCGAGCACUAAUCUAUUUAGAAAAUGGGCCUUAGUUUUGUUCAACUCUAUUUUUCAUAUCUAUAUUUUUAUUCAAAUCCUCCUAAUUUUUGGGUAGACUUUUAAAUCUAGACGAAUACCCCGACACAUGAUUAAGUAUAGCAGGGAGGGUUAUUGACUUGCUUAACAAAGGAGCAAGCGAAUGGUCGGAGAGGUAUUGGGUGUCUAAGCUAGCAAACAAGUCCAUGUCUUAACUGAGUUAGGAUGACUGUCCAUGUCUUAAUCUAUUUGGAUUGAAGAGUACCUUCAUUCAAUUCAUCAACUUGUACUGGAUGAUGUUAUUCAUAUUGACAAUGAAGAUCAUUAUCUUUCAAAAAAUUAUCUAGGAAGUUCCUCCCUUACUCUCUGAACUCACGCCAUCUCAUCAAGAUUAUUUUAGGUGUCCUCAUCAUCUUGAAUCAUUUUUUGGGAUGUUCCGCUUUUACUCAUCGGCUUCUCUCUGCUCUUGAGCACCAUUGCUUUUAGUGUUGUGGUCCGAAAUCAUUUUCGGCAUUAAUAGUUUUAAACCUAAGUCAUAAUAAUGUUGGAAAAUAUGGACAUCACAUAUAUAAUAAUUAUAAUUAUAUAUUAUUUAUUAUUAUGAAAUAUUAGUCUAAAAAAGCGAUCUAAUUUGAUUAAAAUUUAUUUGACUUCAGUUAAUAAAUAAAGUAUGGGUCAAAUAUGUAUAAAUACUCUUAUAACUAAUUUCUAAUUGAUGAUAGGCUGAUUAGAAAUUAAGGUUAAUGUGAAAAAAUUAUAUAUUAGGGUUAUGGUCCUCAAAUUACAUAUACGUAAUUUUUUUAACAUCUCAUCUUUAGAAAAGAGAAAGUCACAUUCUCUAAAUUACUUGUAUGUUAAUUUGGAAUAUCAAAAUCGCAAGACUCGAAGAUUUCAAGACACCUAUGGAUUUAGGUACGUUUUUAUAUCUAAUUUUGUUUUUGAUGAUUUAACAUGACAUAUCCUACUUUAUUAAGUUUUAUAUCCAAUUUUUUUACUCUAACAAAUAAAUCAUGACAGUAACAAAAAUUAUUGAUGAUUAAAUUGUGAAAAUUUUAAAUUUAAAUGUCUAAAAUAAAAAUUUUAAAAGAAAAGUAACUAAAUUUAUUAGUCUAAUAAAAAGAUUAGCAUUAGACCAAAAAAAAAAACAUUGUAAUGAUAAAACCAAAAGAGGUUUCUUUAUUUUAGCUUAUUUUAUUUUAUUUUUAAAUGCACAAAAAUUGCCCUUUAAAGCUUUGGAAGGACGCUGUACCGAUUUAGCGACCCUCUCCCCAUUGGCUCCAUUUCCAUUUUCCUUCAGUCAAUUUCCUUAAUUCACAUCUGGUUACGGAUACGACCCUUCCACCCCUUUCAAAAAUUUUGGCCAAAGAUUCUCUGUCCAAAUUGUUCACUCAUUCGUGUGUCUACAACAUUUUCAUAUAUUUAUUUAUUUUUAAUAUUAACUUUUCAAAAUACUAAAGAAAUCGAAUUCAACUUUUAUUUAAUUGUUAUUAUUGUUAUUAUAGCAAUUUUGAUUUAAGUGCACUUAUACAUAUUAUUUUUACGCUUUAAGAAUUAAAGAAGGGUUAUAGAUAAACAUAGAGAUUAUAUAAAUUCUUUUUUAAAGAAAACAUGCAUAAUUGAAAUAAGAUGAAAUUUAAAUAUACAAUCUUAUUUUUUUUAAAAUAAUCUUGGCAUUAAAUGAAAACCUCAUUGGCAUGAUGAUUUUUUGUUUUUUUUUUGUUUUUUUAUAAAAUAGAAUAUAUUAGAAUUAAAUGGUCUGAAUCCUUAUUUAAAUAAAAUACAUUGGUAAAAUAAAAUAAAAGUAAAACCAUAUAGAAUUACACUUCUUUUAUUUUUAGGAUAAAGUUUUUUAAACCUUAUUAAGCUCCAUCUAUUUGAUAUUGAUUAAAAUAAGGUGUUUCAGUCUUAUUACACUCCUAUUAGAAUAUGGUUUUACAAGCCUAUAAAUGGACAUAGUCUAGUCCUCUUGUAAUUAUUCGAAUUCGAUAUAGUGAAUUAUUUUCUCCUCUGCCCGUGGUUUUUUUCCCGAAAGGGUUUCCACGUAAAAUCUGUGUGUUCUUUAUUUUUCUCUCUCUUUUUCUUUGCGAUACAUUGUCAUUACCAACGUUCUAUUUUUCUACAAAUUGGUAUCCGAGCUUCUGGGUUGUUCAUCUCAAUCACGGUAAUGGCAUAUUUGAAGUAUGAAAUUUCGUUGUUGGAUCGCAACACCAGAUUCGCAUUGUGGCAAAUAAAGAUGCAGGCAGUUCUUACACAGAUGAACUUAGAAUAAGCCCUGCUAGGGGUAGAUAAGAUGUCUUCAACAUUGACGGAGGAAGAGAAUAAGCGCAAGGAUCGAAAGGCGUUAUCACAGUUACAUAUGCAUUUUUCUAACGAAAUUUUACAGGAUGUGGUGAAGGAGAAAAUCGCAGCUGGAUUAUGGAAGAAGUUGGAACAAAUAUGUAUGUCGAAAACUCUAACUAGCAAGCUACAUAUAAAGCAGCGUCUUUAUGCUCAUUAUUUGGAGGAAUGUGCGUCUGUGCACGAACACUUAACAGUGUUUAAAGAAAUUAUCUCAAACUUGGAGGCCAUGGAGGUUCAGCAUGAUAAGGAAGAUUUAGGGUUUAUUCUACUUUGUUUAUUGCCCCUGUCUUAUUCAACCUUUAGAGAUACGAUUUUAUAUAGCCGCGAGUCUGUCACAGUUGAUGAGGUUUAUGCUUCUUUAACCUCGUAUGAUAAGGUGAAGCAUCUUGUGGUUAAAAAUGACUCUCAGGGAGAGAGUCUCAUUGUUCGUGGAAGACAAGAUUUGAAUGCCGAUGAUGAUCGUGGAAAGACACAGGAACGAAAUCCUCACAGUAAAUCUAAGAGUAGAUCGAAGUCUUCAAACAGAGGUAAAACUUGUAACUUCUACAAGAAGAAAGAGCAUAUUAAAUCUGAGUGUUAUAAGCUACAGAACAAGAUCAAAAGGGAGGCUGCGAAUCAAAAUGAAAAACAACAAAAAAAUUUCUGCAAAGCUAAUGUUGUAGAAGACUACAGCGAUGGUGAACUUCUAAUCGCUUUUGUCAACAAUUCUAAAGUGAGCGGGGAGUGAAUCAAUGAUUUGGGUUGCACCUUCCACAUGAGUCCCAAUUGGGAUUGGUUUACAACUUACGAAAUAGUGUCUGAAGGUGUUGUUUUGAUGGGAAAUAAUGUUUCAUGUAGAAUUACAGGUGUUGGAACAAUUAAAGUUAAGAUAUUUGAUGGAGUUGUCAGAAUACUUAGUGACGUAUGACAUGUUCCAGAAUUAAAGAGAAAUUUAAUUUCAUUGAGUACUCUUAAUUCAAAAGGGGUACAAAUACACAGCUGAAAGUGGGGUUUUGAAGAUUUUCAAAGGUUCCCUCAUUAUGAUGAAAGGGCAGAGAAAGACUGCUAAGUUAUAUAUUCUUCAGGGUUUUACUGUUACUGGUGAUGCAGAUGUCGCUUCCUUUUCCUCGUCAAAUGAUGAUAUUACUAAACUUUGGCAUAUGCGCCUAGGGCAUAUGUGUGAGAAUGCCAUGGCAGAAUUGAGCAAAAGAGGACUUCUUGAUGGACAAAGAAUUUUCAAACUGAAGUUCUGUGAGCACUGCGUUUUUGGGAAGCAAAAGGGAGUUCGAUUCAUCAGAGGAAUCCAUAACCUGAAGGGAACGUUGGAGUAUAUUCAUUCUGAUCUAUGGGGGCCAUCCAGAGUGUCUUCGAGAGGUGGAGCUAAUUAUAUGCUAACUUUUAUUGAUGAUUUUUCUAGAAAAGUUUGGGCGUUCUUCCUGAAGCAGAAAAGAGAUGUGUUUUUCGCAUUUAAGUCUUGGAAAACUAUGAUUAAAAAACAGACGGGAAAAUAAAUAAAAUACUUUCGCACAGACAAUGACUUAGAGUUCUGUUCUGAUGAGUUUAAUAAACUGUGCAAGUCAGAAGGGAUCGUGAGACACUUGACAGUUCAUCAUACUCCACAGCAAAAUGGUGUUGCAGAACGAAUGAACAGAACGAUCAUGGAGAAGGUUCGAUAUAUGUUGUCAAAUGCCAACUUACCAAAGUCGUUUUGGGCUGAAGCAGACUCUAUUGCAUGUUUUUUGAUCAAUCGAUCUCCAUCCGUUGCUAUUGAGAAAAAGAUUCCACAAAAGGUAUGGUCUGGUAAUCCUACUGACUAUUCUGAUUUAAAGAUCUUUGGAUGUCUUGCGUACGCUUAUGUUGAUAAUGGAAAAUUGGAGCCGAGAUCCAUUAAAUGUUUUUUUCUUAGUUAUAAAGCUGAUGUAAAAUGGUAUAAGUUAUGGUGUCCUGAAAAUAGAAAAGUUGUGAUUAACAAACAUGUUGUUUUUUUAUGAAACUACUAUGCUACCUAACUUAUCUCUUAAAGACUCUUCCAAUAAAGAAAAUCAAAAGCAAGUAGAGCAUCUGAUUAAUCCAGAAUCUACAAUAGGGUCGACUCCUCAAGCCAGUACAAAAAUUCAAAAUAGAGUUGCUUCUUUACCACAAUACUCUAUAGCCAAAUAUAGAACUAAGAGAGAAAUUAAACCUCCAAAGAAGUAUGUCGAGGCUGAUCUAGUUGCUUAUGCUUUAAAUGUGGUUGAAGAUAUAGAUGCAAACUAAGAGCCAUUUAAUUAUUGUGAUGCGGUUAGCUGGGAAGACUUAGAAAAGUGGAUGUUUGCUAUGCAAGAGGAGAUGAGAUCACUCUACAAAAACAAAACAUGGGAUCUUGUGAAACUUCCUAAAGGUAAAAAAGUUGUUCGUUGUAAAUGGGUGUUUCAAAAGAAAGAAAGGACUCCAGGAGUUGAAGAACCCAAAUAUAAAGCAAGGCUUAUUGCAAAGGGUUACAGUCAAAUUCCAAGAGUGGACUUCACAGAUGUGUUCUCCCUAAUUAUGAAGCAUAGUUCGAUUUGAGUUUUGCUUUGUAUUGUGGCCAUGCAUGAUUUAGAGCUUGAGUAGUUAGAUGUAAAAAUUAUAUUUUUGCAUGGAAAACUUGAGGAGGAUUUUUAUAUGCAACAACCAGAGGGUUUUACAGUCUCAGAAAAAGAGGACUAUGUUUGCUUGUUGAAAAAGUCCCUUUACGGUUUGAAACAAUCACCAAGACAGUGGUACAAGAGGUUUGAUUCCUUUAUGACUUCUCAUGAUUUCAAAAGAAGUAGCUUUGACAGUUGUGUUUACUUUAAGAAAAAUAGCGAUAGUUCUUUUGUGUAUAUACUCUUUUAUGUUAAUGACGUGUUGAUAGCAGCGAAAGAUAAAAAAGAGAUAAGAAAGGUCAAACCCCAACUAAGUGAAGAAUUUGAGAUGAAAGAUUUGGGACCAGCAAAGAAGAUACUUGGUAUAGAGAUUAUCAGAGAUAGAAAAGGAAGUAAAUUGUACCUAAGUCAGAAUGGGUACAUUGAGAAAGUUCUUUGCAAGUUCAAUAUGCAGAGUGCUAAACCUAUUAGUACUCCUUUAGCAGCUCAUUUUAGACUUUUAUCGGCUUUAUCUCUACAAUUAGAUGAUGAGAUUGAGUACAUGUCACAUGUUCCAUACUCUAGUGUAGUGGGAUCUCUCAUGUAUGCUAUGGUUUGUUCACGUCCAGAUUUAUCAUAUGCAGUCAGUGCAGUUAGCAGAUAAAUGGCGAAUCCUGGUAAAGAAUAUUGGAAAACAGUUCAGUGGAUUUUAAGAUACUUACGAGGUACUACUGAUGUUUGCUUACAGUUUGGAAGAACUAGAGAUGGAGUCAUUGGGUAUGUUGAUGUUGAUUUUACUGGAAACCUUGAUAGAAAAAGAUCUUUCACAGGUUAUGUCUUUACAAUCGAAGGUUGUGCAAUCAGUUAGAAAGUCACUUUGCAAACUACAAUUGUUUUGUCUACCACUGAAGUUGAGUACAUGGCAAUUACUGAGGUUUAUAAAGAAGCCAUUUGGUUGAAAGGACUCUUUAGUGAACUCAAUGAAGACCUUCAAAUCAGUACAGUAUUUUGUGACAGUCAGAGUGUCAUCUUCCUUACAAAAGAUCAAAUUUUUCAUGAAAGAACAAAACACGUUGAUGUUCGGUAUCAUUUUGUUUGUGAUAUUAUUGCUUGUGGUGAUAUUGUUGUGAGCAAAAUUAGCACUCAUGAAAAUCUUGCAGAUAUGAUGACUAAGUUACUUCCUAUAACCAAGUUUAAGCAUUGCUUAGACUUGGUUAGUGUUCAUUAUUGAAGUUAAACCCUUAUGGGGUUUUAUGGAAGAGGUGGAGAACUUGUUCAUUGAGAAUUCGUGUCAAUGUGGAGAUUGUUAGAAUUAAGUGACCCGAAUCCUUAUUUAAAUAAAAUACAUUGGUAAAAUAAAAUGAAAGUAAAAUCCAUAUAGAACUACACUUCUUUUAUUUUAUUUUAGAAUAAGGUUUUUUACACCUUAUUAAGCUCCAUCUAUUUGAUAUUGAUUAGAAUAAGGUGUUUCAAUCUCACUACACUCCUAUUAGAAUAUGGUUUUACAAGCCUAUAAACAGACAUAGUCUACUUCUCUUGUAAUUAUUCGAAUUCGACAUAGUGAAUUAUCUUCUCCUUUGCCCGUGGUUUUUUUCCCGAAAGGGUUUCCACGUAAAAUAUGUGUGUUCUUUAUUUUUCUCUCUCUUUUUCUUUGCGAUACAUUGUCAUUACCGGUGUUUUAUUUUCUUACAGAAUAUUUAACUCAUACAUUCACACAAGCACCCAUUUAAACAAUCAUAUAGACAAAACCUGCUAAUCAAUCCCACAACCUUAAAAAUAUCAUGUUGAUUUUUUACUUCUUAUCAAAUAUUGAUUGCUUUUUGGAAUAGUAUUUAAUGCAAAUAAUAACAUAAGACCUAAUUUUUAAAAAAUAAAAAAAAAUCACAUAGGACUUAUAGAUAAAUAUUAAUAAUUUUAUUUAAAUACAAUUAAAGAUUAAUUAAUUAAGGUUUAAGAUUUUAAGUUCAGAUAUUAAUAUUUUUUGUAUUUAUUUAUAAUUAAUUAUGUUUUAAUAAAUUUAUUAACAUUUAUUUAUAAGUCAUUCAUUUUUUUUUUUGUUUAUUCAAUGAUUAUAUGUAGAUUAUUAUUUGCUCAUAAUACUUGAAAUCAAGAAAUACAUCAAAUAUUAUUCUUGAUUUUAGGAGUAAUAAUUUUUAUUGCUUUUUCUAAAUGAAGUAAUAUAAUGUAGUAACAAAUCAAAAAUAAAAAUAAGUUAUCUCUCUUUUUUUUGGUUGAAAAAGGAAUUAUAUUUCUAAAUUAGUAAAAGAGUCAAGCUCGAUACAUAACACAACCAUGAUUGUUCGCUAAUAAUAAAGGUUCCAAGCAACUAGGAGGAUUACUACAUGCAUUAAACAGCGCAAUGAAGAAGUAGAUUGGAAGUUACUCCCUAAAUGGGCUAAGAUGUUAAUACAUUUGUUUCCUUCUCGAAAUACAUGAAACAACAGUCUAGGAGUCAAAGAUUCUUGAAGCAUUCUGCACUCAUCAACCAAAGGUUAGAGGAUCACAUUAGUAGAGAUAUUGUUAGUCAUAAGAUAUAUAAUAAUGGUAACAUCAACUUUAAUCUCCAAGCCUUUGAUAUUUAAUGAAGGCCGCUAACUGUAGCCCAUAUCUAAGAGCCUACAACUCAACUUGAACACUAUUUGCACAAGGGAUAUGUAUAUAAGAUCCAAUCACUAAAUUGCAUUAGUCAUCCUGGAUGAGGGCAUGCGCUCUCGCCUUUCCCAGGUUUCCAAGAGCUAAAUCGCCCAUAUUGAGUUUAAACAAGUUCCUACUAAGAGGUUUUCAAGAAAUUGGAGUAAAUGAGGGGAAGGGAAUGUGUCUUACCACGUGUGAGGAAGCAAAAAAUUCUCUAGUUGUAGAAUUGAAUCUAUUAACCAAAAUUUUGAUGGGGCGAUGGUUUCCAAAGAUAACAACAUUUCUAGAUAACCAUAGUUCUCAAAUGCCAAAUCAAAAUCGCGUACCAAUGGAGGCUAAGGGAGGUUGUCCAUUCUAUAAGGACAAAUUAUUCAUGAAACAGUCUAUCCAUAACGAAAGAGGGUGCGGUCUACACUGAACCCUAGUAGCCAAAGAUUCUUAGAGGCCCUAGGAGAUAGCACAAUCGCGAAGGAUAUGGAAAACCUCUUCAGGGGUUGAGGAACACCAAGGGCAGAGGUCCUUCGAGAUGAUAUCUUUUCCUCUAAGCAAUGUUCACGUAGUAAUAGCAUUAUGCCCACACUUUCAUAAGAAAAAUUUGAGCUUUGGGGAAGUUUGGCUUUCUAUAUGAUUUUCCAAAGGGAUGCAUUAGAACAAAGGGGACUUGGAAUCGAAUUCAGCCGCAAGGGCAUACGCGCUAGCUAGAAGAAAUUUUCAUCAUUAGAACAACCCCAACAUAAAGUGUCUGACUUAUUAGGGAUAUUAGGGAUGGGUGUACUCGGGAAUGUAUCAAUCAAAAACUAAGGUAACCUUAAGGAGAUGCUAAGAGACACUUGAGCCUCCCAUCUAUCACAAACUUGUUUGAAUGACAAGAGCUUUUCACACCUUAAUAGCGGCUCUUUCAAAGGCCCUAAGCCAGACCAAUUAUCGAACCAAAACUUGACAGAUUGGCCAUCCUUUAUCACCUAUCUAAAUCUAGAAUCCAAAAGUGAACUAAACUUAUGAAGGGAAAUCCAUGUUGAGGAAACAUUGACAACCACUAGAGGGUUUCUUAGAUCUUGGGCAUAUUUGAAGAAAAACAAUUUGGCCCGUAGACUAUCCAUCUCAUGGAUUAACUUCAUCCCAACUUCAUAUGGAGAGAUUGGUUCCUAUAUUUCACGAUAGGGAUGCCUAAUUUUUAGGAGGUGAUAUACCAUACCAACUAAUUCAGUAGAGUUUCCUUGCCCCUUUCAUACCACCCUAUAAAAAGUCUUUAUUAAGUUUAUCUAGUUGAUUAAGAACACUGACAAGCAAUGACCUAAUCUACAUAAAGUAACUUGGGAUGAAAGCAAUUAUAGAUUGAAUGAGGACUAAUCUACCAACAUGAGAGAGAAGAUUGGUCUUCCAAGCUUUCAAUUUGCUACAGAUAUUUUCCACAAUGAAAUUAAAAUCCCUUCGAAAAGAGAGACUGGUCAUAGUUAGAAAGCCCAAAUACCUUCCUAUAUCCUGAGUAUCUUUUCCACAAUUUAGGAUUUGAUACUUUUAUGACAAUUGGAGGAAAAAUGAUCUUAGAUUUGCUAAAGUUAAUACAUUGGCUAAAUUCCCUCAUAAACAUCUUCAAAACUUGCCCAAUAGAAUCCAUAGUCACAGUAUCCAUCUUGCUAAAGAGAAUAAUAUCAUCAACAAAUAAAAGGUGCUAGAAGUUAGAACCACUCCUCAAAUCUCGAACCAAUUUCAACUUAUUAUGCUAAACCGCCAGAUAGAUAUGGAGAUUGAGGAAUUUCAUACAUAAGACAAAUAGGUAGGGGGCAAUGGGUCUCCCUAUCUAAUUUCUCGAGAAAGGUAAAAAGAAUUAAGCUUAGAGUCAUUCAACAAGACUGUGGUGGAAGUAGAAGAGACACAACUCAUGAUAAGAUUGACCCAAAGAGUUGAAAACCCAAAAAAGUAUAGGACUUUCUGAAGAAAGCUUCACUCUAGAUUAUCGUAUGCUUUUUUCCAAAUCAAGUUUAAUAACAAUAACCCCUUUUUUUCCUUUCAUCUUCUUAAGAUAAUGCAUGAGUUCUUGGAAAAUUAUGGCAUUAUCCAUAAAAUGCCUACAAGAAACAAAGCUACCUUAAAACGGAGAGAUAAUUCUGCGCAGUAUAGGUAUAAGUUUCAUGACUAGAACUUUGGUAAUGAUCUUAUAAAUCGUGUUGCAUAGACUUAUCAAAUGAAAUUGAGAAAUGGAAGUAGCUUCUCUCAAUUUGGAGAUAAGGGUGAUAAGAGUUUCAUUUAGCGACGGAGGGAUAGAAGCCUUAGCAAAAACCUCAGAUACAGUUCGAAUUACUCUCUAUUUCACAUUGAGUCAACAACGGUGGUAGAAAAACGGGUGUAGAUCAUCCGAACCUAGAGCCUUUAGAGGUUUAAAAGACCAAAUUGCCUUAGUAAUGCCCACGUGGGAAAUCUACGCAAGGAGAGAUUGGAUUUCUAGAUUGGAAAGAUGAAGCCAAAUAAGCAAAUCGCGCUAAAAAACCAAAGGACACUACUUUCUCAAAGGUGGUAAAAAGUUGAUCAAAAUGAUUCUAAACCAAAUUCUCAAUACUUGUUUGCUCAGUAAUCCACCUACCAUUAUUAUCAAAAGGCCUAACAAUACGAUUGAAGUUUUCGCAAACUAAAGUGGAUAGGUGGAAAAACUUGAUAUUUCAUUCUCCAUUGAUAAUCCAAUUAACUCUGGAUUUAAGAGCCCAAAUAAGUUCUUCCUACUACAAGGUCUCAUUAAGGUCACUAGACAAAAAUUUAUGUAGGUUAAUUAAGAAGUCAUUAGGAUCAUCAACUAGGGAUCAUUCAAUUCUCAAAAUUCUAGCUAAAAGAUGUUUCUUGGAUCAAAAGACAUUACCAAAAGUAAACAUAUUCCAACCCGAUAAAUAAGAAGUAAAAUCAGAAAUGGUUGAUGGGAAAGAGCUAUUUGAAUCUAACAAAAAAUGGUGAAGUAUGGAUUUAAACUCAAAGUGAUCAAACCAUAUUUUAUGGAAACUCUUCUAGAUUUCUUAAAAUCAAUUAUCUCUAUCGCAUAUAAAAAUGUAAAAUUUUCAAAUUUAAUGUUAUUGUUGGUAUGCUAUUAUUAAUAGAAUUAUUACUGAAUUUAAAUCAUAUAAGAGUAUCCACUACCUUCUUCAUCAGUUUUUUUUAUUCUUAUAAUUUAUGUUUAGAUUUGUGACUUUCUCUUUUAACAAUAUAAUUUGCAAAGUUCCAACUUACAUUUACUAUUGAAAAUUCAUUAUGCUUAAUCAUUGCACUCAACCCUUACUAAUAAAAUUAACCACUAUCUUAAUUUGAUGAACCUUUAAGAUGAUAAAUUUAAAAUAUUCUCAUAUAUUUUUAAUAUGUGUAAUUUGUUCUAAAUUCUACAUUAAACAAACAAAUAUGUUAUCUUUACAUAGAAUUAUAAUAUCAAACUAUCAGGCCUAUGUUAUGAAUAAUUUUUCAAAAGGUCAAUCGAUUUGAUUGGCUCGAUUUACAAUUAAUGCAUAACAUAAUAAGCUCAUUCAAGCAUAACUUUAUACUCGAUUAUAUUUUACGAAAAUCUUGUAUUUUAUCAUCUUAAUUAGAUAAGAUAUUAUAGUUAUGAAUAUUAGAAAAUUAACUAUCUUUUGCCUAAUUUUGUCAACUAUAGUGUUUACAAUAAAAUUUGUAUAAUAUAUUUUUUAUGAAUUAAAUAAUGCAUACACAUCUUAAGUCUACUUAUCUACAAUUGACUAUAAGUCAUGUAGGAGUUCAAUUCCAAAUAUAGUAACACCUGAGAUGGAAACUGUUAAAAAAUCGAGAAACUUGAAAAAUUCAUCGAAACUUGAAAAAUUCAUCUGAUUUUUCAUUCAUAUAUCUUACAAGAUUAUUUACAAAAUACAUAAAGUUGUCAAACCAUCGCCUAAAAAAAUGAAAAAAACUAUCAUCUGCUAGCUAACUCUUAACUAAUUGAAACUAACAAACUAACUAUUUGUUUCAACACUCCCCUUCAAGGUGGUGGUUGAAAUACAUAUUUAACCCCCAACUUGGAUACUAAAUGCUCAUGUUGUUGUACCCCCAAAAUCUUUGUAAAGAUGUAUGCCAACUGCUCUAUGGAGGAUACAUGCUCAGUCUUUAUAAGACCAUUCUGAAUCUUCUCUCUUAUGAAAUGGCAGUCCACUUCUAUGUGCUUAGUUCAUUCAUGGUAAACCAGAUUUGCUGUUAUCUGUAAAGUAACUUUACUAUCACAGAAAAGCUUUAUUGAUUGCUUUCUCCUGAUUCCAAUCUCAGUCAGUAAACCAUCUAGCCAAACUACCUCUGUUGUUGUGACCUACUCCUAUACUCUUGUACUCUACUUCUACUGAAGACCUGGCUAUAGUGGAUUGCUUCUUUGAUUUCCAAGAAAUCAGCGACUUGCCAAGUUUUAAACAAAAACCUAAUACAAACUUUCUUGUUAUUGGGCAGGAUGCCCAGUCAGAGUCACAAUUUGCAACCAACUCACACUCACUCAAGGCAUCAAGAAAUAUUCAUUGUCUUGGAUUUUUCUUCAAGUAUCUCACCACUCUUAAUGUUGUAUCCAAGUGUGCCUUUUUGGGUUAUUGCAUGAAUUGGCUCAAAUGAUGAACUGAGAAGGUUAUAUCUGGUCUGGCAUGAGUUAAGUAAAUAAGUAUUCCCACAAGCCUUUGAAAAACUGACUUGUCAUCUGGCAACUUAUCACCAUUCAUUUCACCAUUCUCUUGCUGUAGAUUCUCAUCAUAUUCUAUUGAGGUCAACUUAUUAUUCAGUUCUAUAGGAGUUGUAGCUGGCUUUGCUCCCCCUACCCCAGUUUCUUUAAUCAAUUCUAAUGUAUACUUCCUUUGGUUGAUUAAAAUUCCUUCCUUCGUCCUUAGUAUUUCAAGACCAAAGAAAUUUUUUAACUCUCUAAAAUCCUUCCUUCUAAAGUUCUGAUACAGAAUUCCCUUCAGCUCUUCAAUCAUACUUUUACUGCUCCUAGUAAUCAGUAAAUUAUCCAUAUAAAUGAGCAUGAUUACUAUCUCAUUCCUUUUUUCUUGGUAAAUAAAGAAUAAUCAGGCCUGCUCUGUUCAUAUCCAGCUGCUAUAAGAGUCUCUGUCAGUUUUAGAUUCCAUUGCCUUGAUGUCUGCUUCAGGCCUCAUAAUGAUUUUUGCAGUCUACAUACCUUACCCUCCCCCUAGCUGCAAAAACCAGUAGACAAAUCCAUGUAGACUUCUUGUACCAAAUCACCUUGAAGGAAAGCAUUGUAAACAUCUAACUGAAACAACAGCCAACUGAAAAUAGAUGCCAACGCAAGUAAAAGCCUCACAGUAACCAUUUUGGGAAUAGGGGAGAAAGUGUCAACAUAAUUUAUCCCUUCUUUUUAAUUAUAACCCUUAGCCACCAGCCAAGCUUUGAAUCUCUUAAGUUCACCCGAUGUUUUAUACUUAAUCUUGUAAACCCAUUUACAACCAAUAGGGACCUUUCUAGUUGGAAGAGAGACAACAGACCAAGUAUUAUUGGACUCAAGAGCUUGACUUUCCUCAUUCAUGGCAUGAAUCCAAUGAGGAUAUCUAAUGGCUCCAUUAUAGGUGGUAGGCUCAAUCAAUGAAGAAGUCAAGGAAAUAUAGUGUUGAGUAUGAUAAUGUAAAUGGACAUAAGAAAUGGCAUUUGAAAUAGGAUACUGAAAAGGAAAUGAGGUAGAUUGAUUACUACAAAUGAAAUCAUUCAACUACUGAGGUGGUUUUGAAACAUGAAAAGGCUUUCUAGGAACUAGAGUUUUUAAACUAAGAGGACCUGAAGAUGACUAUACUGGAUAACUUGUUGAGGGUGUAAAGCUUGAAACAGUAGGUUGUAGUGAAAACAACUGCGGUGAGUGUAGGGUGGAAAUAAUAGGCUGUGGUGGAUUUAAAACAAGAAAUUCUGAAUCAGAUAAGGGAACUGAAGAAGGAAAAAAAGGAGAAGAUUUAGCUAAGGGAAGGUGAAAAGGAAAAGAAUGCUCAUGAAAGAUCACAUCGAUGUUAACAAAAAAUUUAUGUGUUUCAAGAUUGAACAAGAUGUAACCUUUCUGUGUAGUAGAGUAUCCCAUAAGCACAGAAGGAACUACUUUUGGGGAACACUUAUCAUAAUAGUUAGACUGUGUAGCAUAACAAAGACAUCAAAAAAAUCUUAAGAUGAGCCAGACUAGGAGGUUUUUUUAUAGAGACACUCAUAAGGAGUCUUCCCUUGUAAAAAAGAAUAUGGCAAUCUAUUGAUGAGGUAAUAAGCAGUGGUAACACACUCACCCCAAAAUUUAAGAGGUACUUUGGAUUGAAAAUGAAUGGCUCGGGAUACUUCUAGGAUGUGUCUAUGUUUACGUUCAGCCACCCCAUUUUGUUGAUGUAUAUGAACACAUGAACUUUGAUGCAUUAUACCAAGAGAGGAAAAAAGAGUAGACAUUCCAUAUUGAAAAAUUCGGUCCCAUUAUCACUAUGGAUAUUCUUACCUAAGAGAGAAAACUAGGUUUUAACAAAGGAGAAGAAAUGUCUAAGAAACAAAAUUGUGUCACUCUUAACCCUCAAGAGAUAAAUCCAAGCCAUGUGUGUACAGUCAUCUACAAUAGUGAGAAAGAGCCUAUGUCCAUUAUGUGUUGAAACACGAUAAGGACCCCAAAUAUCAACAUGAAUGAGUUCAAAAGGUAUGUCAGACCUUGAAUGAAUAAGAGGAAAAGGUAAUCUAUUCUGUUUGGCUAAAAGACAUAUACUACAAUUAUGCACAAUAUUAGUAUCAAGUUUGCAAGAAUUAAAAACAAGUAACUUUUACAUUAUUGUAAUAGAAGCAUGCCCUAAACGAGCAUUCCAUACAUGAGUAUUAUUGUGCAAAACAAUAGAUUGCUGAUCAGCAGACAUUGAAUCAUCAUGAGAAACAACAUUGGAAAAAGGGAAAACACUACAUUGAACUGAAUAUAACAAACCAGAAACUCCUUUAACAGACUCAAAAAAAUAUAGCCCUCUAGACUCUCUACCAAUCCUCUUAAUCAUGUUAUUCGAGAGAUCCUACAGCAGACAAAAGUCAGGAUAAAACACGAUGGAAUAAUUAAGUUCUUUGGAAAGUUUAGACACUGAAAGGUGAUUGUGAGAAAAAUUCGGAACAAGUAAGACAUUGGUAAUGAGGUGAUCAUGGGUCAACCUAUAAGAACCUAUAUGGGCAAUAGUAUAUGUUUUACUAUUUGGUAGAUGAGCAUAACAAGGUGUAACACAUGAAACAAGAAACAACAAGAUACGAUAUGAUCUGUCUUCCUUGUAUCUAAAAUCCAACGAAGAGAUCCAUUAGUAGCAGGUAAACAUCCAGAAACAGUACCUGUAAGAUUUACAAUGAAAUCCUUCGAAGGAGCCUUGUUGAUGAGACUCAAAAUUUUGUUGUAUUGGUCAGCAAUGAAUGUCGGUAAAUACAAGGCAGUAGAAGUAGCCGACGAACCAAGGUCAGAAGUUGAGUGAUCAAUUACCUCUGAAUUGAUGGCCAUAGCUGCCUGUGGAAUUUUCUUCUUUGUGAACUUAAAAUCUGAGGGGAAACUAAUCAGUUGGUAGCAAUUAUCAUGAUGAUGGCCUUUAAUUUUGCAGUAGUCGCAAACCCCAUUGUAUCGGUAGUGAUCUGAACUUCUAGAGGCAUUUGAAAACAUUAUAGUAUUCUCCACAAUAGGAACUCUAGACAAGUGCACACAUGUGAUUCCUCUUGUACUAUUAUCGAAUAUGCUUGAUUUACCGAAGUGGUUGCAUAAGCAAAAUCUAACUCUGCUGAACCAUAUGCACAUGAUUCAAUUGAGAAACCUCACAAUUGCAUGAUGUAAACAGGACCAAAGCACUAUACUCGUUCCACAAAAGUUUGAGACGUGUGAAGUAAAUAGAAAAAGUAGACUCACCCUGGUUAAGAGUUACAAUCGAUCGAUGAAGGAAGAAAAUCCUUAACCCAUUAACUUUGUCAAAGCGUUCCUUCAAAUCUUGCCACGGCAACGCCGUACUGGAAGCAAACACAAUCCCAACCGAAAGUUCCUGAUUAACGGUGUUGAGUAUCUAGGAUAACACCAUUGCAUUGCAUCUCUCCCAUUAUGGAUGCAAUGCCUACUCAUAAUCGUCUUUGUGACAGUUUCAUCAAUGAAUCCCAGCUUGUUUUUUUGCAAGAAGGGCAAUCCGCAUCGAUUUGCUCCAUAUACUAUAGUUUUCCAAACCCACAAGCUAAUGAGAGACCAGAUGCACUCUUGGCUUAUCCGAGGGGUGCAAAAACAAUGGAUGAUUGAAAUCAACAAUGCCUUCCAUGCUUCAUACCUGAAACCCUAAUCGAACUCAAUGAAAAAAACAAACACGAUUUCAGAAAUCUGAUCAGGAAAUUUGAAGGAAAAAAACUUACGCUGAUACCAUGUUAAAAAAUCGAGAAACUUAAAAAAUUCAUUUGAUUUUUCAUUCAUGUAUCUUACAAGAUGAUUUACAAAAAUAUAUAUAGUUGUCAAACCAUCACCCAAGAAAAAGAAAAAAAAUGUCAUUUGCUAACUAACCCUAACUAAUUGAAACUAACAAACUAACUAUUUGUUUCAACAGAAACUUGAUUUAUAUUAUGAUUCACGCAUGAUCUCUUAUCUUCUUACUCACUUUGAUGUUUGAUUUUAAGUAUUGGGAAAACUCUCAAAUUUGGCUGGGUAGAGAAACAGAUCAAGGGCUUUAUAUAUAGUACUUUUAUAAGAAACAACUCAUUAUAGUGUCAAUAUACAUGCCUUAUUCUUCCUCCUCCUAUAUAUAAAUGUACAAUUAUAUGAAUCAUUUUAAUGUGAUACAAUUAAAUUGGGAAGAUUAACGUUAACCAAACUUAAUUUGAUUAAUGGACCCGCAAAAUUUUAAUAUAUGUAUUUUAAUUUUACUUUGAACAUUAAAAAUACAUAAACUUUGGUCAAUACAUUUAAAUUCCAACAAGAAAAUGAUAUGAAAAAUGUUUUAUUUUUGGGAGACUACACUUAGAUGGCAAUUUAUCCAUAUAUAGCAUGAUUUCAUGCUUCAUGGAAUAACAAUUCUCGUGAUAAUACUUUUCUAUUAUAAUGAGUUUUUCCUGUUGUGGUUCAUAAUUAAAGGGAAAAAAAAAGGAGAAAGGAGAAAUCAAAGCAGGGGUUAAUUAUAUAAUUAAAAGGAACAAGGGAAGUACAAUUGAUAGGACUGCUUGGAUGCCAAUUUGGUGGCAAUGUUGGACUACCUUACCUAUACCUCCAGCAAAGAAUGUUUUGGCGGAGAUUUUGAUUUAUUUUGUUUCGUAAACUUCACACUCCAUCUAAAAAUGUGAGAAAUAUGAGCCACUCUGUUGCUUGGAAGAAAAAGGGUCUAACAACUGGAAUUUAUAACCUAGAUUCCAAAAUAAAAUAAUUAUUUUAAACAAUCAGAAAUAAAUAAAAUAAUAAUAAUAAUUUAACCUCAAAGAGAUACCCAUAAAUCAUAACCACCAUAUAGAUGAAACUGAUUGAAGGAUUGUAUCUAAUAAGGCUUAUGAAAAUUUAUAUAGGUGAAAAACUUCUGAGAGAGUAAAAGAUAUAAGGUAGGGUAGUUACUAGACCUGAUCAUGGGUCGGGUCGAUACAUAAUUUUAGAUCCACCUUUUAGGUUUUAGUCAAAAAUUUAGCUUAAAAUUUUGUCUGAACCUGACUCAUAUUAAAAAUGCUAAAUUCGAGCUUGAUCCGACCCGACCGUAAUAAAUUUUUUAUAUAAAAAUAAAUUUAAAAAUUAUAAUACAUCAAAUACAUUGAAAAAUUGAAAUAAAUAUUUUUCAACAAAUUGAAAAUUAAAAAAAAAAGCAUAGGCAUGUGAUUUGGACCAAGCUCGGAUAAAAAAAAAUUUCCCAAGACUCGAUCCAUUUAAAAAACAUGAUUUUUGUCCAAACCUAUUUUUUGAACCCAUAUUUUUACCUAAACUCUCCCACUUUUUGAACGGUUGACCCAACCUAUAAUCAGGUCUAGUAGCUACCAUCAAACUCUCCCUCUCACUGUAUUUAAUCUCAGUAAAAUAUGACACUUAUCAAGUCAAAAUUUUUACUUAAUGGUAAUUACUAUAAAUAUAUAAAACUAUUUAAUUUGUAUUAUAAAAUUAAGGAUCACUCGUAUAUGUUAACAUUUUUUAUUUAAUAAAUAAAUAUUCUAACAUUCUUUCACUUCGUCCGAACUUUAUAACAAUAUUUUUAAGGAUAAAUCUUAAAAUUAUACAUAAACUUUGAUUUAAUAUAUAAUUGUAUGCAUAAACUUUAAUUUGGUGUAAUUAUGCAUGUGAAACUUUAAUUGUGGUUCAAAUGUAUACUUAAAAAUUUAAUUUUGAUUUAAUUAUACAUAUUUAAAGAAAUAAAUACAUUAAUUUAUUUAUAUAUUAGAUAAAUAUAAUUAUUCAUGUAUGCAAUAUAUAAACAUAAAAUGAUGAUGCUAUAUCAAUAAUUGUGUUAAACAUUUACAAAAAUUGAAUAUCAAAAUUCAUGUAUACAAUUGCACAUUAAAUCAUAAUUGAUGUAUAAUUUUAGUAUUUAUCUCUAUCUUUAUUAAUAUUUCUAUACAUCAUAUGUUUAAGUAGAAGAAUAUAUUUUAGGCGACGUAGGUGAGUCAGAAGCCGGGAUAUCUGAAAUUAAUAGAUCAUAACAGCAAGUAUGCUAUGCCAAAACAUCGGCCUCUCCUCUUUGGCCUUUUAAACAGGCACUGCCUUUUAGCUGUUAAUCUCCAUUAAUUUAGACUACUUCUUCAAACUCAUCUGGACUUUAAUGAUAUAUUUAGCCUAAGUUUAAUUUCUGAUGUGCAGGAUCCAUAGUUAUGGCAAGCACAAAGCAUACUAUUAAACUCACGAGAGAUUUUUUUUCACAGAUAUACCAUUUCCAGGCAGGAAGAGAUUUGAGAAAGUUUAGCAAGACAUAGUUUAGAAAACACACUGGAAUUUUAUUUUCGAAACUUGUUCUUCUACAACUGAACUUCUAAAUCCCUUAUAUAGAAGGGGAAAACCUAAUGAGCAGAUAAGAAGGAAUCUGCUUUUUCUUUUAGUACAGUGAUAUGAUAAAGCAAAAAGACAUGACUCAGCAAAAUAAUUUACAUAAAGGUAAAACAGAUAAAAAGGAAUCAGCUUUUUAAUUACUAUCAUCACUAUCAUAGUCUGUACUUAUGUUGGACAUGAUAUUCAGCUCUUCUGCUUUUCUUUUCUUUUUUUCACGUGCUCGAUGACACUUUAGCUCCAACUGUUCAAUCCUUAUUUCAAGAUCAUCAGGUGGUAUCAUAUCAUGAAUUGGUAAGAUUGAUGUCUUUGUUGUUUUGUAAACGUCUUUCUCUUUCCAGCUUGAUGUGUCUUCUUGUAUAUCUCGCCAUGCUGAUGUGUCUUGAACUGCUUGGCUACAAUAUCGGAUACUCCUGAGACCAUUCUUUUGGGUCUGGGAUAUUGGUCUGAUAUUCCACUAAGGCUUGUCUCAACUGUUCUUGAUAAAGUGUUAGUGGUACGUCUUUAUCCCAUGGGGCAAGUAUGUCUUCUGAGGGCCAUAUUUCUUCAGGAAUGAUUCUGUUUAUCUGACAGAGAUACUUCUGUAAGCUUUUGUAGCGACAUUGGCUAGUGCUUAUCUCCGAGUGAUAGGUUUUGUUAAUCCAUGCACUAGGAAAUGCUCCAAGUUGUGUUGCUGGACCAUUUUGUACGAAGUAUUGUGGCUUGUAAAAGAUAAUUACCAUCCACUGGGCUUUCAUAUUUUUGAGAUAUUCUAGCCCAAUCAUCUCAUGCCAUUGUUCAAGUGGAUAAAACCAUUUGAGAAAGGUUGCAAAAUUCUUCAUCUCUGGACUCAGUUCUUCUUGUGUAGCCAUAGUCACAUAAUAUUGGAGAUCUUCAAUGUGGAACUCAAUCCCAAUAUGAAACAAAUGGGUUAAGUACCAAAACAUCCAUUUAAGUUCUUCAGGAAAUUCUCCAAAUUGGAAUUUUAUGGGAUGGAUAAAAGGAUAUUUGGGGUGAAGUCCUAAAGGUUUUAGGAAUAAACCUCUAAAAUCUCUGAAAACAUUUUUUUGGUAAGAAAGCAUCAUGUUCAUGGCUUCUCUAUGGAAUCUUAUUUCUAGUAUAAGGCUUAACACAUUUGGUGGAUGAUCAGGGUGAGAAUUUGGUUGAUAAGGUAGUGAAAAUGGUGAAGGUGGUUGUUGGGUUUUCUUUUUCCCUUUUCCUUUGGAGGAGGAAGGUUGGAACAUAAAAACUUCAACUGGAUGAUGGGCUUGAGCUGAAAAUUUUGGUGGUCUUGAGAGGAUAUCAGCAAGGACAUUAUGUUUUCCUUUUAUAUCAACAACAUCAAAAGAAAAUUUAGAAAACCAUUCUGCCCAACGGAGGAGUUGAGGAUGUGGCACCUCUUUUUGCUUGAAUUGUAACAUUUUUUGGAAGGAAGACAUAUCCAUUUCAACAAGGAAACGAUAACCAGUCAAGUGAAAUUGGAAUUUAGAGAUUCCAUUCUUGACAGCAAGGAUUUCUUUGAAUGUUGAAUGGUAAUGGAUUUCAGAAUCAUUGAAUCUUCCACUUUUGUAUCCACAAAGAUGUUUUUUUCCAUUAUCUUCUUCUAACAAGAUAGCUCCCCAAUAUUUGUCACUAGCAUCAGUCUGCAAAAUUCUUUUUCCUUCUGAAGGAAUCUGUAAUGGAAGCAGAUGAGUAGUUUUUCCUUUUAAUUUCUGGAUUGCUUUCGUCUGAUUGGAACUCCAGGGAGGUGGAUCGUUCUUCAACAUUUUUCUUAAAGGAUUUGUUAAUUUUGAGAUUUUCGAAACAAAAUCUCUGAGAUAAUUAACAAUUCCUAAGAACUGUUGUACUUGCUUUUGAGAAAGAUUACUAUCUGGAAAUUUUUUUAACUCUUCAGCAAUGCUUGGAUGAGGCUGAUAUCUCCCAUCUUUAUUUGUUAUUCCAAGGAACUCAAUUUCUUCCUUGUUGGUUUGCAUUUUUCUUUUAGAAAGCAUGAUUCCCUUCUCUAGAAUAAUCUACAUGAAUCUUUCAAGGAGAAUAGCAUGACUUUCCUGGUCUGGACUGUAGAGCAAUAUGUCAUCAAUGUAGAUCAGAGCCUGAUCCAUAAUGGGCUAAAAAAUCUUGAUCAUGGCUUUUUGGAACAGUGAUGGGGCAGUCUUUAAUCCAAAAGGCAUGACUGUCCAUUGAAAAUGUUUAUUUGGGAUACAGAAUCCCGUUUUGGGCGUUUCUUUAGGACUAAUCCCCAAUUGCCAAAAUCCUGCUUUAAGAUCAAACUUUGAGAAAACUCAGCCCUUUGCAAGGCUUGAAAACAUACAAUUCUUGUUGGGUAAAGGAAACUUGUCAUCUUGUAGGAAAUGAUUAAGAGGCUGAUAGUUAAUUACCAGUCUUAAUUUUCCUCUAGCUUGUUCAGAUCUUUUGUUGACAUAAAAAGCUUCACAAGCCCAUUGUGAAUCUGAGGCUUCAAUCAAUCCUUCUUCUUGUAGCUGUUGGCAUUCUUUUUCAGCUAACUUUAGGUGUUCCAGAUUCAUUCCCACAUAGUUGGCUUUAGUUGGAUUGAUGUCUUCAUUUUUCUUGAAAGGAAGUUUGAUAAAGAAUUCAGAGUUUCUCCAUAAAGGAUGGUUACAUUUAUCAAGGAAAUCUAAAUGAGAUUCUGCACAUGAUCUCUGCUUUAGUUCUUUCACGAUCAUCUGGAUCUUCUCAGCAUGUAUCAUGAAUAAUCUGGGAAUAGGUACAUAAGGUUUGAACAUUUGUUUGUACCAUAACUUCAGGAACUGGUAGAUUUUGAGAAAUCUGGGGAAUUUGCAAGCUUAGAGAAUCUGGUGGAAAAGGAGGGUAAUGUAUUUGAGUUUGAAUCAUAAAUGCUUCACUGGACUCUUCACUAGAUGAGGAUUCCGAAUCACUGUAUUCUAUACUCUGAAUGGCACAUACCGAUUUAUCAUUUGGCUCAUCAUCAAUGGAAAAUAGUGAGUCAAUAUCAUCAUCUUCUGUGAUUUUUACACCUGAUUUUUGUUGUAUAUGUUGGAUCAUCUUGGCUACUUUCUUAUUUUUAGGACAAGAUUUUGCAAAAUGUCCUUUCUGGUUGCAAAUGUAGCAUCGGGUUGAUUUGGUUCCCUUAGAUGAUCUUCUUUUCUUCUUCAGGUAUCUCCAUUUAUACCUUUUUCUAGGAAUUGUUGGAGAGAAUUUCUUUAUCUUCCGGAAAUACUUUUUCUUCUUUGUGGGAUAGUAACAUGACUUGUCAUUCCCACAUUUAAUUUUGAGAUGUGAAUCACAACAGGCUUUGCCCAAUCUUCUGUCACCAUGAAGAUAAUCUUUGAAGACUUUUCUUCUAUUGCAUAGAUCUUCAAGAGCAAUGUAUGUUUCUUGCUAAAUUUCUCCUAUGGUUAGAUUGAGAAUGUUCUUGUUUUGCCUAUAGAGAUUUUGAUUGAUCGCCACCUGGAGAGGAUCUGGAAUAGAGGAAAUCACCGCUUGUUUAAGGUUAGAUUCUGAACCAAGUGCAUAAAAAAGUUUUGUCAUCGCAUAAAAAUGCUUAGACAAAUCCUUCUUCUUACAGGAACAACACUUUCUUUUGAAAAACUCUCGUCUUUUCAGAGUUAACAGAUCAUCAGGAUUUCCAAUAAAAUAAUGAUGGAUAAUCCUAAUUGCCUGGGAUAAAUCUGUCGACACUAAAAAUUUUAAUUGAUCUGCUUGAGGAAUAGAAUUCCACCAAUCUUUCAACAUCUCUGUGAAUCUUAAAACAAAUUAGAUGAGAACGUUGUAAUGGCUUUCUUCUGCUAAUUUUCUGGUUUCCAGCCAUGAAUGGAACUCUUCUAAUCUCUCUGGCCAUCUACUGGUUGGAAUAUCGUCAAGAGUGAAGAUUAUUUUCCCUGUAGAGACAUGGGAUGUUGUUCUUGUAUUUGAACUUGAUGGUUCACCUGCUUCAGUCAUUUCUUCUUCUGAUACUUCUUCAACUUUUACUCCAGGGGAUGUUGUGGUCAUUAUUUCAGGGGGAUCUUCUGAAUCUUUUUCUGAUGUUUCUGAAUUAGAUGGCUCUAAAUCUUCUGAAACAGAUUCUGAUUCAGAUGAAGAUGGCAAGGAUUCUAGAGUUACUUCAGGCUCAUGAAAGACAGAUAUUUUUGGAAGAAUUUCUCUACUAUAAUCCUUUAAAAAAUUUGUUAAAGGAUAAGGAGAUUGUUCUUCAUUUUGCAUCAUCAAAGACUUUGAUAUUUGUUUUGGUGGAGAUGAAGGUGGGGAUAAGAAUGGACUUACUUGUUCUUUUUCUUCUUGUUUCUCCAAUGGUCUUUUUCCUAGAGCCUUUUCUUUCUGUCUCUUUUCUUCUUCCUUUUGCGCCUUGAUUUGUAAAUACAAAUCAUAAGUGUUGGGUUUCUUCUUAUCUUCUGGUGGAAGAAAUUGCAAUCUGAUUGUUCCGGAUGAUUUUGGCUUGUCAAACUGCCUUACAGAUGGGAAAAGUUCAAUCACAUUUCUUGCUGGUUGAGGAGGAGGCAGUUUUUCAUUUUCUUUGAGAUACUUGAUCUGCUCUUUAAGAUUUUGAAUUUCUUUUUUUCUUUGUGCAAGAUGAGAAAAGAAAUCUUGACCUGGUGCAGCUGUCUCACUGGCAACCUCUUUAAGCCUCUUUUGGAAAAGCUUAAUAAAGUUUUGAUCAUCACGGAAUUCUCAUCGGUACACUUUUCUAUCUUGGACACCUUGGUAUCAAUUUGAUUGACCUUCUGGUCUAUCUUUUUUAAAACAGAAUUUUGAGCUAGCACAUUUUCUGCCUACCAAUUUAGAGUGGCUUCAGCUGCUGCUAUCUUUAUCUGUCAGCCAUCUGCACCCACUUGCAAUUUUGUCAGAAUUUUAGAGGCAUAAAGAUGCUCCUUCUUUGAAAAUUCUUCUAAUGGUGGAAAUUGAUGCUCAUAUGAAGAAGUUGAUUCAAACAUCUGUACUUCCGGAAUUUUUUGUUGAGGGACAACAACCUUUUCUUCUUGAGCGCAUAUCUGGAAUUGAUUAUGCUUCUGGACCUAUUUAUUGAUCCUUUUAGAGCAUGGUUGCCUCAAAGGCUUUGAUAACCAUCUCUGUUCUGAAUCUGCUUUUUAACUAUUAUCAUCACUAUCAUAGUCUGUACUUAUUUCAGACGUGAUAUUCAGCUCUUCUGCUUAUCUUUUCUUUUUUUCACGUGCUCGAUGACACUUUAGCUCCAGCUGUUCAAUCCUUAUUUCAAGAUCAUCAGGUGGUAUCAUAUCAUGAAUUGGCAUGAUUGAUGUUUUUAUUGUUUUGCAAACGUCCUUCUCUUUCCAGCUUGAUGCGUCUUCUUAUAUAUCUCGCCAUGCUGAUGUGUCUUGAACUGCUUAGCUACAAUAUCGGAUACUCUUGAGACCAUUCUUUUGGGUUUGGGAUAUUGGUCUGAUAUUCCACUAAGGCUUGUCUCAACUGUUCUUGAUAAAGUGUUAGUGGUACGUCUUUAUCCCUUGAGGCAAGUAUGUCUUCUGAGGGCCAUAUUUUUUCAGGAAUGAUUCUGUUUAUCUGACAGAGAUAUUUCUGUAAGCUUCUAUAGCGACAUUGGCUAGUGCUUAUCUCCGAGUGAUAGGUUUUGUUAAUCCAUGCACUAGGAAAUGCUCCAAGUUGUGUUGCUGGACCAUUUUGUACGAAGUAUUAUGGCUUGUAAAAGAUAAUACCAUCCAUUGGGCUUUCAUAUUUUUGAGAUAUUCUAGCCCAAUCAUCUCAUGCCAUUGUUCAAGUGGAUAAAACCAUUUGAGAAAGGUUGCAAAAUUCUUCAUCUCUGGACUCAAUUCUUCUUGUGUAGCCAUAGUCACAUAAUAUUGGAGAUCUUCAAUAUGGAACUCAAUCCCAAUAUGAAACAAAUGGGUUAAGUACCAAAAUAUCCAUUUAAGUUCUUCAGAAAAUUCUCCAAAUUGGAAUUUUAUGGGAUGGAUAAAAGGAUAUUUGGGGUGAAGUCCUAAAGGUUUUAGGAAUAAACCUCCAAAAUCUCUGAAAACACUUUUUUGGUACGAAAGCAUCAUGUUCAUGGCUUCUCUAUGAAAUCUUUUUUCUAGUAUAAGGCUUAACACUUCUGGUGGAUGAUCAGGGUGAGAAUUUGGUUGAUAACGUAGUGAAAAUGGUGAAGGUGGUUGUUGGGUUUUCUUUUUACCUUUUCCUUUGGAGGAGGAAGGUUGGAACAUAAAAACUUCAACUGGAUGAUGGACUUGAGCUGAAAAUUCUGAUGGUCUUGAGAGGAUAUCAGCAAGGACAUUAUGUUUUCCUUUUAUAUGAAUAACAUCAAAAGCAAAUUUAGAAAACCAUUCUGCCCAACGGAGGAGUUGAGGAUGUGGCAUCUUUUUUUGCUUGAAUUGUAACAUUUUUGGGAAGGAAGACAUAUCCAUUUCAACAAGGAAACGAUAACCAGUCAAGUGAAAUUGGAAUUUAGAGAUUCCAUUCUUGACAGCAAGGAUUUCUUUGAAUGUUGAAUGGUAAUGGAUUUCAGAAUCAUUGAAUCUUCCACUUUUGUAUCCACAAAGAUAUCUUUUUCCAUUAUCUUCUUCUAACAAGAUAGCUCCUCAAUAUUUGUCACUAACAUCAGUCUGCAAAAUUCUUUUUCCUUCUGAAGGAAUCUGUAAUGGAAGCAGAUGAGCAGUUUUUCCUUUUAAUUUCUGGAUUGCUUUCGUCUGAUUGGAACUCCAUGGAGGUGGAUCGUUCUUCAACAUUUUUCUUAAAGGAUUUGUUAAUUUUGAGAUUUUCGAAACAAAAUCUCUGAGAUAAUUAACAAUUCCUAAGAACUGUUGUACUUGCUUUUGAGAAAGAUUACUAUCUGAAAAUUUCUUUAACUCUUCAGCAAUGCUUGGAUGAGGCUGAUAUCUCCCAUCUUUAUUUGUUAUUCCAAGGAACUCAAUUUCUUCCUUGUUGGUUUGCAUUUUUCUUUUAGAAAGCAUGAUUCCCUUCUCUAGAAUAAUCUACAUGAAUCUUUCAAGGAGAAUAGCAUGACUUUCCUGGUCUGGACUUUAGAGCAAUAUGUCAUCAAUGUAGAUCAGAGCCUGAUCCAUAAUGGGCUGAAAAAUCUUGAUCAUGGCUUUUUGGAACAGUGAUGGGGCAGUCUUUAAUCCAAAAGGCAUGACUGUCCAUUGAAAAUGUUUGUUUGGGAUACAGAAUCCCGUUUUGGGCCUUUCUUUAGGACUAAUCCCCAAUUGCCAAAAUCCUGCUUUAAGAUCAAACUUGGAGAAAACUCGGGCCUUUGCAAGGCUUGAAAACAUACAAUUCAUGUUGGGCAAAGGAAACUUGUCAUCUUGUAGGAAAUUAUUAAGAGGCUGAUAGUUAAUUACCAGUCUUAAUUUUCCUUUAUCAAGAACAGUUGAGACAAGCCUUAGUGGAAUAUCAGACCAAUAUCCCAGACCCAAAAGAAUGGUCUCGGGAGUAUCCGAUGUAUUGUAGCCAAGCAGUUCAAGACACAUCAGCAUGGCGAGAUAUACAAGAAGACACAUCAAGCUGGAAAGAGAAGGACGUUUACAAAACAACAAAGACAUCAAUCAUACCAAUUCAUGAUAUGGUACCACCUGAUGAUCUAGAAAUAAGGAUUGAACAGCUGGAGCUAAAGUGUCAUCGAGCACGUGAAAAAAAGAAAAGAAAAGCAGAAGAGCUGAAUAUCAUGUCCGACAUGAGUACAGACUAUGAUAGUGAUGAUAAUAAUUAAAAAGCAGAUUCCUUCUUAUCUGUUUUACCUUUAUGUAAAUUAUUUUGCUGAGUCAUGUCCUUUUGCUUUAUCAUAUCACUGUACUAAAAGAAAAUGCAGAUUCCUUCUUAACUGCUCAUCAGGUUUUCCCCUUCUAUAUAAGAGAUUUAGAUGUUCAAUUGUAGAAGAACAAGUUUCGGAAAUAAAAUUCUAGUGUGUUUUCUAAACUAUGUCUUACUAAACUUUCUCAAAUCUCUUCCUGCUUGGAAAUGGUAUAUCUGUGAAAGAAAAUCUCCCGUGUGUUUAAUAGUAUGCUCUAUGCUUGCCAUAACUAUGGAUCCUGCACAUCAGAAAUUAAACUUAGACUAAAUAUAUCAUUAAAGUCCAAAUGAGUUUGAAGAAGUAGUCUAAAUUAAUGGAGAUUAACAGCUAAUAGGCAGUGCCUGUUUAAAGGGCCAAAGAGGAAAGACCGAUGUUUUGGCAUAGCAUGCCUACUGUUAUGAUCUAUUAAUUUCAAAUACCCCAGCUUAUUACUCACCUGUGUCGCCUGCUAAAAGGCAGUGCCUGUUUAAAAGGCCAAAGAGGAGAGGCCGAUGUUUUGGCAUAGCAUACUUGCUGUUAUGAUCUAUUAAUUUCAAAUAUUCCGGCUUCUUACUCACCUGUGUCGCCUUGGUAUCAGAGCCAGCAACUCCUAGAUUUUUUUUUCAUACGAGAAACCAGAUUCAGAAAGGAAGGGAAACCUUAUAAAUGAAUUCCCCUAGAAUGUCUAGAUCUAAAGCACCCAUAUCCUUACCUAGCUUUCCUUUAAAAUCCCAUUCUGCUAGAAAAAUUUCUUCUUUGUAUGAAGUUGAAUAUUUCACAGAAGAAGAAAAAGUCCAAGCUACAGACUUACCUCUUGUAAAUCAUUAUUCUACUUAUCAAAAACCUUCUUUUUUCUCCUAUUAAAAGUAUCAAGUCUCUUAUUACUACUAGUAGGAAAAAUGUACGUGAAUAUGUGCAGUCAUCAAAGUUUGAUAAGCAUCUUAUUUAUGGAGGUUAGGAGGAACAAUUUGUUACUUUUGAAAUCCCUUCAAACUUUCCCCAAGAAUGGAUCCAUCAUGGAUACUCUCACAUCCAUUUUGGAGCAGUAAGAUUGGCGCUGAAUUACCAUGGAACAUCUGGGAAACCAGUUGUGUCAAGAAUCAUCCUGUUAGACUCAAGAUACAAGCGGUACCAAGAUGCCUGUAUUGGUACAGUUGAAGCAACACUUAGCCCAGGAAUGGCUAUGGUAACUCUGUUUCCAAACUUUACCAUGUCAUUGCAAGAUCCUAAUCUGAUGGAUGCCCUCAAAAUUCAGAUUCAGAUCAUUGAGGCAGAAAUGAUUGAAUCUGCUGUUACAGCAACCCUUCACUAUCAAAUAGUGUAUCGGGUACAAGACCAUGCAUUCAAAUUAUCAAACCAAGGAUCUAAAGACUCUCUCAUUAUUUCAGUUAACACUAAGGAAGAGCCUCACUGUGUACAUGUUCCAAAGCAAAUACCAAAGCAAGAACUUUUAAAGCUUUUUCCUGAAAAGUGUGUGACAAAUUAUGAGCAAAUCCACCAGCAUGACCAGCCAAUUCGCUCUACAAAAAGCCAGAUUGUUACUAAAGCUGAUGGCACCAGUGAAAUCAAGUUUGAUCACAGUCACUUAAAGCAAUUACCAACUCCUCCAAUUUUCUCUACACAGAUGAUGUUACAAGCACUUGAUGGUCCAGACCCCAGCCUGAAGCUCCUCUCAUACAAAGCUUUCAACCUAAUGGAAAGCCUUUGUAUUCUUUUAAAGAUCCUAAAGGACACCGUCCUUAAGAUAUUAAUUGUUCAUGCGAAGGAUGCCAAGACGCAGUUUUUGAAGAUCUUGAUGAAGAUAUUAGGCGAUCCCGCAAAAAGAACAAAAACAAAAAGUCAACUCAGAAGAGUUUCUAUGUUCAUAAUGAUAAAUGUAUAUAGUUAAAAUAGAGGUAUCAUGAGGAGUCUAAUCAAAAUUUUAAGCCUAAUUAACAAACUUGAGUUUGGUUCGGUACGAAUAAUUAACUUAAAUUUUGGUUCAAGAAAAACCAAUAAUGUCGAAAUUUUUAACUCCUAAAUAACAAAAACCACAAUAUGGCUUCAUAGAAUUGUUGAACAUGCAACAAAGGAAUUAUAAUCCCAAACAAAAAUGAAACAAUUUUUCUAGAAUUUCAUAGGGAAAGAUGCAAAAAUCCAAGAGAUACCCACAAAAGGUAAUCAAUCCCGAAAAUCAUAAUUGUUUUAGAGCAUGAUAAAAUUCAAAUCAGAACAACCCAUAAACAAAAUAGAUCUGAAGAUAAGAUAAUACAUCUGAAAUCCCACUUAGAAAUCGCAACUAUAGUGGAGAGAAAAUAAGUAUCAUUAGGCACUAAAGGAGAAGCUUAGAGACGAAAUCCAUGGCUGGUGUAUAUAUAUAUAUAUAUAUGGGCAAAAACCAGGGUGAAUAGUUUCUAUCUCUGUGUGUAUAUAUAUCUCAAGCAUAAACAUUAAACAAUUGCAACUAACACAAGAUUUCAUCUUUUUAGUUCAAUUUUUAGGAGGGAAAAGAGAACCCUUUUUUUUUUAUUCCUCCUCCUAUAAAUCAAAGGCAGAGCUUUAAAAAAAAUAGAGUUGAAAGAAAAAAAAGUUCAAAAAUGGUGGAAAUGUUUGCGACUGAGAAUGGACUUAAAAGGAGACCCAAGGCUUCAAGCUAUAUCAAUCGCCAUAAGGGUUGUUACCUUCGGUUUCUCAGUCAAAAAGCAAUAGUGGUGAUUGGUGAACGAUGAUGGACAAGUGGGUGUGUGGUGGAUCGGUGGUGGCCAGAGUGGUAACGAUGAUGGUGGUGGCCGGUGGGUGUUGGAGUGGAGAAGGGAUUUAAAGGCGUUAAUGUUAGGGACUAUUGGGAGGGCCGGUUGAGGAAAUCAGGAAAAGAAAAAAGGGCAACCUGUUAAGCCAUGCUAUUCUCCCUAGGGGUGAGCAAAACUCGAUUCGACUCGAAAAAAUUGAAAAAAAAUUCGAAUUUCGAGUUAAACGAAUAAAGUUAUUCGAGUUAAUCGAGUUAUUCGAAUCAACUCGAAUUUUUUUCGAAUUUCGAGUUCGAAUCGAGUUGAGUUUUCGAAUUCGAAUAACUCGAAUAAUUCGAAUAUCAAACUAUAAUAUUUUACAUUUUUACCCCAAACUCCCAAACCUUUUUACUUUUCCCUCAAAACUUUUACUCCUUCCCACUUUCCCCCCAAAACUUUUAUUCUCUUCCCCUCCCAGCCCCCCAAUCUACCCAAAAUCCAUUUCCCACCAAAAUUUUACUCACCCAUUUAUUUUUUCUCAAAAUUUUACUCCCAAAAACCCUCAAAACAUUUUAUUUUCCNNNNNNNNNNNNNNNNNNNNNNNNNNNNNNNNNNNNNNNNNNNNNNNNNNNNNNNNNNNNNNNNNNNNNNNNNNNNNNNNNNNNNNNNNNNNNNNNNNNNUUUACUUCCUCCCACUUUUCCCUUAAAACUUUUAUUCCCUUCCCAUCCCACCUCUCAUCUAUCCCAAACCCUUCCCCCUCCAAUUUUUUUUUAAUAUUUUCCCUCCAUCUAUUUACUUUCCCUCAAACUUUUAUUCUCCAAAACUUUUUAUUUUUCCCCUAAACUUUUACUUCUCACCCUUUACUCUCAAAUAAAAAAUCAAAAUUAUCCAAAAAAAAUCACUAAACAUAAAUAGUAAUAAUUUUAUUUAUUUCUACUAUUUAUAUUAUUAAAUUAAAUUUCACAUUUUAUAUUAUUUAUAUUAUUAAAUUAUUUAGUCAUAUUGAAUAUUUAUAUUAAAAUUGAAUUAUUAAUUAUGCCAUAAAAUAUUCGUGUUAAAAUUUUAUAUUGGUAUCAAUUUCACAUUUUAUUUUUAAAAUAACUUUUAUUAAAAAUCAUAUUUUUGCAUUUAAUAUAUUUUUUAAUUCUAAAAUACAUAGUGGCAAGAAUCUGAAGAUAAUUGAAACAACUAAGCAAGCAAAAAAGCUAAACAAUAUAUAAAAAAUUAAUAAAUAAAUUAUGAAGUGAUUAAAGUUAAUAAAAAUUUUGAUUAAGGUGGACAAAUUUUAUUACGAUGGGUGACAAUGGUUACAAGGACCCAAAAUUAUUUUUUAAAAUUUAACUCGAACAAAUAUAUUCGAUUCGAUUCGAUUCGAUUCGAAUUCCAUCUCACUCGACUCGAUUCGAGAAAACUUCAAAUAAAGUUAGGAUGAUAAAAUGAGAUUCGAAAACUCGAUUAACUCGAAAAUUUUUGAUUCGAUUCGAUUCGAUUCGAUCGAAUGCUCACCCCUAAUUCUCCCUAUUUUUUUGAGGUCAUAUUUUUACCUAAAUUCUAAGUUUCAAAUGGAUUUUUGGGUUCUUUUCAUGGACUUUUAGGUUGGAUCGAGUGAUUUAAACCAAAUUGAAAAGAAAAGAAAAACUAAAUAAGACAUUAGUGACAGUUCUAGGGAUAAUUUCAUUUCAACCACGUAAUCCUGAAGUAUGUCUUUUUUUUAGAGGAUCAACAAUCAUUAGUUUUGUAUAUGUGUUUCAAUGAGCAGUUCCAAGGAUAAGUACUUGAUGUUUUUACUUUCACUUUUGUUGUUCUUGGUAAAGAACACAAUUGCAAUGUAAUGCCUCAAAAUUUUUGACAUUUAUGAUUUUCACAAUUUUAGGAUAUAAUUAAUUAAACUCCCGAGAACAUGCAUUUCAUUAUUCAUAUUAUAUUGCCAGAUUAAAUUAGACACUGAUAAAUAUCGUUAAUCGAAUUUAAACAUGAAAUAUUGAAUCGGGAUAUAGAUUAACUUGUAAAAAGUUUAAAGCAUAAGGUAUGAAUGUGAGAUAUAGAGAAUUGUCAUUAAAAUGGAAUGAGGAGGACUAAUAUUAAGAUUUUUCCAAGGACUAAAGUUAUAAUAAGACCAUGGGUAAGCCAUUAGUGGAGGAACUCCAUCUAGACCGUUAAUCUCCACUAAAUUUAAGCUUGAAUGAAUCUUGUACUUGGUUUAUGUUAGUGGAAUCUGAUGAGAAACCACGAAGGAAAUAUUUAGAGGAAAUAGAGGAAAAGAGGGAGAACCUAGCCAAACUAAGUCCAUCUCUUCAUUCUUAUGAAUUUCAGUGUUAUUUUGAUUAAAAGGAUGAUGCUAAGUUUAAGUAGCCUUAUUAACCAUGUCAAGAGAGGUUAAUUUGAAGACUUGAUUGUCGUCAAGGCUGGGUUUUGGAUGGAGAAAGGUAAGAAGUUGUGCCAUUUAUACAUUCAUAAACUUUGAAUUGAAAUUUUGGAAUUUGUCAUUGUAUUAUCUUAUAGUAAUUAAGGUCUUAAUGUUGUAUAUGUGUAUAUUUUUAAGCUAAGGAAACUCUUGGAGAAGGAGCUAGUAAAGGAAAGACUAAAGUGGUAGAUUGAUAGCUUGAAAGAUGGGAAUUGGUAUUUUGGAAGCUUAAUCAAGGUUAGUGCUCCAUGAUUUCUAGUGUGUUUAUUAUUGAUUAUUAAUGUGGCUAAAAUGUGAGGUAAUAGUUAAACCCUGAACUAACUCAAUUAGCUAAAUAGACCUUUUGAUUAACAUUGACUGCUAGCAUUAAUGACAACAUUAACGUGGCCGUUAACAUAUGUCAUGUAAACAUCAAUUUGUUGAUGUGACCGUUAACAAAUGACAUGUUAGUAUCGAUUGUUGACUUAACAUUAUCACAUCUACAAAAAAUAAAAAGUUUUUUAAAAUAAGUACACAAUAAAUUUAGACAAAUUAUUGUUUAGAAGGUUCAUUUGGUUAAGACACCCAUUUGUCUAGAUUCAUUCUAUAAUUAUAAGAGAAACAUAAUUUUUUUUAUAAAAUUUGAAAAAAAUUAUUAAAAUUAUAAAAUAAAUUAGAUAUUGAUUAAAAAUUAUAAUUUUUUUAUAAAAAUUUAUAGAAAUAAUUUAUUAAAAACCAUAAAAAUUUUAAAAAAAUAAUUUCCUCAUUUUGAUCAAAUUAUUUGACUAAUAUAAACUUGUUCAAAUUGAAAAAUAUAACAAAAAAAUUUGUUAAUCUUGAUUUUAUGAUAUAAGUUGUUGAUGCUCGUUUUCAUAUUUAAAAUAAAAAAUAAUAAACUAUUUUUAUAAAUUUUAUAAAAUAUUAUUUUAAAAUUAAUUUAUAAUAAAUUUUAUGUUUUUUAUAAUUUCAGAAUGUAUUUGGACAAACUUAUGUCCAAAUUCAAAUGAAUUUGUACAAAAACUUGUCCAAAUUCUUUGUGUACUUAUUUUAAAAUAUUUAUUUUUGAAUUUUUUAUUUUUGCUGAUGCCAUUAGGUCCAUCUUAGUCAAAGGGACAAUUUUUUUAAUUCAAAAGUUCAAUUGGGUGAAAAAAAAAUUAAAGGGAUUUAAUUUUUUUUUUAUUUUUGAAAAAGUUUGAUUACUUACAUUAACCCUAACUUUAGUAUGGAAUGAAUUAACUUGAGUAUGGAAUAAAUUGAUUGGUAAGAUGUGAUAUCUACAUGAAGAAGAGAGUGUUGUUUAAAGAGCUUAAUAGUUGUUCAAAAGAGCUAAAAAAUUAUUAUGUUCAAAAUUAUGUGAUUGAUGAAUAAGGAUGUGAAAAGAAUUAUUAAAUGAUGAACUAAAGACCUUCUGAACUAUCUUGAAUAUAGAAUCUAUAUAUAUGUAAAGUGAAUUUAUAUAAUGGUGUUAUUGUUGUUUGAUUGAAGAGAUAGUAAACAAGCAUGGCUUUAUAGUGAUCAUAAACAUGUUAAAUGGUAAGUUAAAGGUAUGAUUAACUUUAUUUUAGCGAUGCUAAUAGCUUAUUAUGUGAUCAUAAUUUUGUAUGAAUAAAGAAAGAAACGAAUCAUCAUUACAAUUGUUUAUAGCCAUUGUAAAUCAGGUGUAAAACUAGUCAGGUAUAAAUGACAUGUCAUAAAAUAUAGAUAAUAGUACUGCAUAAUUAUGAGAUAUAUAUUGUAUAGGUUACAUUUCACAUCUGAAAAUAUCGUUUAUGUUUCACGUAUUGUAUUUUGAAUGAUUAUCGUUAGCACUUUGCAACCCUGAAGCACCAUUAGCCCUUUACACGCUAGGGAGUUUGGUUGGAACUAUCAUUGGUGUAACCGGUUAAAUUUUUAUUGGUGUUUAUUCUCAUAGGUAUUGAAAGAGUGAUUUGUUUUCACUCACCGAACACAAGAGUUAGUUUGAAAAUGGAAUAAGCAUUUCCAAAUUAAUAAGAUGUUACUUUUAAAUAUUUUAUUAAAAGAAGUGUCAUCUUUCUGGGUAUUUUCCCACAAGAAUCCGAUCGAUUUCCCUUUUGUUUAAAUUUCAAACACAAUUUCAAAGUAUAUUGAUGAAGGUUAAAGAAAUAAUUAACUUUUCUGCACCUGUAAAAAUGGCAUGGAAGCAAUCUAUUAUAUAUAAUAAUUUUGGACCCUUUCUUUUUGGGGGCCAGAAUUUUUGUACCCCUUAGAUUAUAUAUGUGUAAUAUAUAUAUAUAUAUAUAUAUAUAUAUAUAUAUAUAUGCAUUUGCAUGUGCAUAUAUUUGUUACAAAAGAUGUUUUAGUCCGGAAAUAAAAAAAUAUAUAUUUCAAAGAUAAACUUCUUGAUAUUGUAUGUAUGAAUCAAUUUAACUAAAUCUAGAUUCAACUAACAUCUAUUUUAGACUUAUAUUCAUCGUUUGCCAUCUAAUCAUGUCACUCGAAAGUGAGUAAAUUAUAAUAUUUCGUAAUUAUAUAUGAUGAAAAUCAAGCAUAUGGAAUUAUCGAGAAUUAAAUGGAGUUACGAGUAGAAGUAAGGUUUGUAUAUACAUCUAUAUACAUAUAAAGCUUUGUUAAAUUUAAUGUAUGUUAUUCAGCUUAGUGAAAUCAUAAUAACUUUGCAUAAAGAAGUUUCAUGUUUUUAAUCUUAGAGGUUAGAAUAAAACUUUGCAUAAAGAAAAGAACAGAGAAAAGUAAAAGAUAUCGGCAUGAUAUUCCCGGCCCCAUUGGGUCAUAGUACAGGAAAAAGUAUUUUUUUUGUGUCUUCUCUAUUUUAUUGUUCAUGUUCAGAUUUGUGACUAUGCUUCUUAACAAUGUCGUUUUCAAAAUUUAAAUCCGGAUGAAAUACUUGUGGUUUAAAGUACCAUUGUUGAAACUAAGAAAAGGGCACUAAAAUCUCUCAUUCAAGCCCAAAACUUAAACUCAAAUUAUUAGAAUUUUAAUAUUUAUAACUAGUUUUCUUAUUCAUAGAAAUCGACCUCGUUUGAAAUAAAAACAGUUACCAGAAAUCCAUGGCACUAGUGAAAGUGCAAGUGUCAGAAGACUGAUAAAGUGAGGAAGAGGUGACAAUCACUGCAGGUUGCAGAAGCUGAAAGUUGAGUGCAUCUUUGGGAACUGGCAAAGACUUGCUGUUGUUUGAAGCCCCCACUGAUUUUAAAAUGUACCAACCAAAAGUGAAAACAAAGGAUGAAUGAUUUUAAAAUCUGUCAAUGCUGGAGAUUAGCUCUACUGUUUUUUUCUUUCUUUUUUCAAUCUAUUUCUGCAAUUUUCUCUUCUUUCCUUUGAUGUUCUAUUGCUUCUGCCUAGAUUUUGGCAUGUUGGUAGCAAAUUUUCCCAACUUUAAUUAUAUGUCCUUGUACCAUAGUGUGAAGUGCAGUUUGGUCCUAGAUUUUGUGACAAAUGGGAAAAAAACUGUUAAUUUUACUAGGUGGAGUAGCAUUUUUAAGUGAGGGAUAUGGCAUAUUCAGUCAACUAAUUAUAAGAUAACCCGGACCCUUGUAGUUAACCUAUACGUAUGAAAUAAAGUCGAGUUAAAUGCAAUGAUUUUAAGGCACAUGAGGUGGAAAGAAGACAGAUACACAAAAUUAGCAAAAAUGUAGAUGGACCAAAAAUGAAUUCCGUACUAUAGACCUUCUUUUACCCAAAUUUUCAUGCUUUUUUUGAAGGCAGUGUUGAUCCAAAACCAAACAGAACAGAAAACUGAAACUGAAACUGAAAACAGAAGAGGACCAAGACAAGGUAGGGCAGGGGAUGGAAAGCUGAAAGUUGAAAUGUUGAAUUACAAGGGACAUUUUAUGGUUAGCACAAGUUAUUCUGAGGGAAUCAAAUAAAGAAAAGAUGAUGUAUUGCAAUCUUCCAAUGUCAUUGAUUUUAUCUUUAUCUAACAUAUUAAAGUUGGUUUGGUUUUUUUUUCCCCCUCACCUGUCACCAAGCAAAACCCUUUGCUUUAUUUCACUGUGUUCCAUAGAUUCUCUUGAAACAUCCCUGGUAAUGUCAGGAGGAAAAAAAAAUACAAAAUCUUAUCUUGUAAUAGCUUUACAAUUCAUUGACAGAUCUUGGUUUAACGAACUUGUGACCGUUUUUUAUAUGGGUUUAGCUGUUCAUCAUGUUUUGUGAGGAGCUUUUACAAAUCUGUUGUUUUUUGAGAUACAAAUCUUGAUUAUUUGCCUAAGAUUAUGUUUGAAGUGACAGCUUAGUUGAAAUGUUCCAAAGGAUGCCUUUCUCAUGGCAAUGGGCAUCUCAUUUUGUUAUUUGUGGAUUAGAUUCCUCACGACAUUACAGGGAUUUAAACUGAUGAAUUGUUAAAAUCCCAGCACCUUCAAAGGAAAUUAAAGAAAACAUGAUCUUUGUCUGUCAGAAGAAAUGACUUGUUUCAAUGUUUAACUUUGAUAGAACCACACCAUAAUAUAGUUUCUCUUCACAUCCAAUUAAUUGAACUAAUCAACUGUUAAUCUCACUUUUGUACUUAAAUCUAAAUCGUUUCUUCUCAAAGAUAGUGUAAAUUGAUUGGUUCAACUUUAUUUACUUACAAUAUAUGCAGUAGUAAAAAAGUUCCUAUUUAAACAAUAAAUGUGCUCUUCAAUCCGUCCAAAUAACCUAAGUUGUCAAUGUAUAAGGGUAAAAAGACUUGUUGAAAUAUAAUCAACACAUUCACUUAUUUCACUAAAAUAGUCACCUAAAAAGAUUUUCUAAUAAUUAACAUGUUGGCAAAUAUAUUCUCGAUCUCAAAAUCCUUUGAAAAUAUAAGAGAACUUUGAUAAUAUUAAAAAUAUCUUAUUUCUUGCACACAUAAAGUCUCCACAAAUGAGUUGCUACCCAACGGAACCAAAACAAUUUAAUUAAAAUAUGUCAAUCAAGUAAGUCAAGUUAUACCAAUUUUUUCUUUAAGCUGCAACCGACAGUUAUAAAUAGCACUAACAAAAACUUUAAUAAUAUAAUCAACUCAACAUUUCUCCUUACCCUUAAUCCAUUAAUGCAAAGUAACAAAAGCAUUAACAAUGAGGAAUCAUCAAAUAAUAUAUUGGCGACAUUUCACCACCAAAUACAUAUCGAAAUCUUAUUAGUAUCGUCGUCAAAAAAUUUCUCCAAAAAAAAAAACUUCAUCCACAUCAAACAAGAACUUCUUCAAGGAAAAAAAUUUCACCUAGCUAGCAACCAAUACUCUCAGUAUCUUCAUUUGGAAUUAUCUCCUCAAAAUAAAUCUACUACCUGUUUUCCUGCCACUUGAAAGAAUACUUCAAUUUAGGUAGCAUAGGCUUCUUCUAGGUCAACUCUCUCUGACCUUUGCUUCAUAAGAAUCUAGAAUGUGAGGGAGGAGAAAGGCGAUGCCAGCCUUGUAUUCUUGGUCUCUACGUGCUUAAUAAUUUCAUUCAAUAUCAUCUCGCCAAGCUCAGCAUGAGCAGGAGAAACAACCUUUUGAAGGAACACAACCAGCUUCUUAGUAACGAAUUCCUUGUUGCUAUGGCUUGGAAUGUUGCAUAUAUAAGCUCAAGCUCAAAAGCUUUAGUUUUCACAUUGUUGGUCAACUAGGUUACAAGAUCAUCAUAGUCUACCUCUGAUUGAUCAUCAUCCAUUGUUGGUCAAAGAAGGAUUUUCCUUGCAUCUUUCAUCCCUCCUCAAAGGAAAUUUCUAUUUAUUUUAUCAAACUUUGUCAAAAUAUUUAUAAGAAGCAAUCGACAUUGCAUAAAAUAGGAAGGAAUGACCGUUUUGGUAGAUUAGAACACUGUAAGUCUAUUAGCUUGAAUGAGGCAAUUUCUUUUCCAAGCAAUAAGCUUGUUUUUAUUAUACUUGAACAGAUAUAGAAACUCAUUCUUCAUUUUUGCAUGCACAUACGGCAUUAGGUGCAUCCUUUUCAUACUGUAGAAAGUAGUUUUCCAAAGGUGAUUGUAGAAACCAACUUUUAUUUUAAAAAAACAAAUAUUAGUUGUCGAUGAAAAUUGAAGUCGCCACCAAUCUUUUAUUGAGGUGUGAUUGGAUCACCUAAAAAAUAGCUUUGGUCUACGAGUUUUAGAAAAAUGGAUCCGGGAGUCGGUUACGUACGAGGAAGGAUUAGCACCCUUGUAACGCCCAAAUUUGUACCUAGUUAAUUAAUUAGUGUCUUAAUGUCGAAAAUUUAAAAAUAUGAUCCUUAAUAAAAACUUAAAAAGCGUUAUUUAUUAAAACUCAUAUCAUUUCGAAGAAAGAAAAUGUCACACCCAAUGCGUUAGGGCAUGACAUUCUAAUUCCUCAAAAAUGAAUUAGUCCAAAAUACUCGUGUAAUAAAAUUUAAAAGAAGAUUCAUUUGUUUAAGAUUUAUAAAGAAAUCGCGGCCCAAUACGUUAGGGCACAAUUUCUCAAAAUCCUAAACUUGAAAUAUUUCCUUUGUUAUUAUUAUUUUUUUUAAAUCUUUGUCUCGAGAAAUCAAUACGUCACAUCCAAUACGUUAGGAUACAACAUAUUAAAUUCCCGACAACAAGCUUUUCAUUUUAUUUUUUGAUUAAUGAGCAAUUCUCGAUUGUUAGAUUUAACGAAGAAAAUUGGAACCCAAUACGUUAGAGCUCAAUUUCCUUGAAAAUCCUAAAUACGAGUGUUAUCUCAAUUUUGAAAAUUUUAAAAUCGAGUAAAAAUUAUGUAAUGCUACAUUAAGUGUAAAAUACAAUAAUAAAUAUACAACAAUGGCAUAGAAAUAAACGAAAUUAAUGUACAUAAAAAAAACAACAUGUAAAGUAUCAAAUGAACAAAAUAUAAAUGAAAACAUAAAUCAAUAAGGAAAUGAAGGAAAUAAACAAAAAAUAUAAAGAGAAAAAAAGGUACAAAAUAUAUACAUGAAAUUAUAAAGAAUAAAAGACAUAUACAUGGGUUUACAUAUAAAAUUUUGGACUAUAGAAUUUAUAACAAUAUAUAUAUAUAAUGCAUUUAUGAAAAUAAAGAAAAAUAUAUAAAUAUACAUAUAUAUUAUAACAUAUGUGUUGAAAAUAUAAGUUUGUAUUUAAGCAAAUAAAAAACAUAGGCAUGUGCAUAUAUAUAUAUAUAUAUAUAUAUAUAUAUAUAUAAAUAUUCAUUAGAAAAAUAUAUAAAUACAUACAUGUACAUAUAUACAAAAGUAAAAAAAAUUGAAACUAAAUAUAAAAGUAUAUAUAUGUACAUAAAAGUUAGGAAGUAAAAUAAAAAUAAAAACAUAUGUAUAAAAUAUAUAUAAGCAUACGUAUAUUAUAUAUAAAACAAUAUAUAUUACAUAAAAACGAUACAUGCGCAUGAAUAUAAAAAUAAUAAUAAUAAUAAUAAUACAAGAUUAAUGAUGCCACAUAAUAGUAUUAAUAAUAUUAAAAUAAUUAAUUUAAUAAAAAAAACUAAAAUAACAAAUAGAGGAUUAAAUAGCAUUAAUAAUCAAAGACCAAUGAAUUUAAAACAAAGAGUAUAAAAUAAAAAAAAUAUAAGGCCAAAUAAAAUGUAAACAAAUUUGAAAAUAAUGAAUUUGAAAAUGAAUAAUAAAGGAAAAAGAGAUUUGAAAUCAACAAUAUACAAAUCAAUAAAUAAAUUAUACACAAAUCAACAAAAUAAGAACGCAAGAAAGAGAGAAAUUUGAGUAAAUACUCUUAAGAAUUAUUAUUACUCCCCACUUCCAGCCUUUACAAUGAAGGGAGAGGCAUCUAUUUAUAGUUGAGCCUCCCAAAAUCUAACGGUACAGAUUAAUUACAUCAAUAGCUAAAAGGUAUCUACAAAUUAAAUCUCUAAGAUUACAAAAUCAUAUCUUCUAAGAUUGCAUAUCAUAUCUAAGAUUGCAUAUCCUUGAAGAUUAUGUUUCCAUAUGCAUCAAGCUUGUAGAUAGACCUUCAACCUUUUCAAAUAAUGGGCCAUCCCGAUCGGGCCAAAUGAUAUAAUUUUGGACUUUGUUUUAUUAUUUUGGGUUUAUUAUUUUUUUAUGAGCCCGGGCUAAAUUGGCCUAUUACAGUGAUCAUUGCUUGAAAUGUCUUUUUUUCUUUAAUUAUUAUAUGUACAUUAAUCUAUGUGUAGAUACUAACUUUUGAGGUUCUUUGUAAAUAUUAAUGGUUUACUUCAGCUAAUAAUUUUCAUUUAUAAGGCAUUUAUGGAUCAUAGUAAAAAAGAUUGAGGAAAAUAACUUUUCCUAUAAUUUUUUAUUAAUUAAUAAAUAUUACUUUACCAAAAUAAAUAAAUAAAAAUUCAUUCUAUUUAUUCAUUCAUUUAUAUAUAAUCAAUAAUGCCAUUAAAAAGUAUAUUUUUAGUCCUAAUAUAUUAUUUUAUUAAGAUUUUAUUUAAUUCCGAGACGAAAACUCAAAUUUAACAAAUCUUAAAUAUUAUUUUGACAUGGAAUUCAAGUCAUGCACGCUUACAAUUAAUAUAUUACAAUUCAUCACGUUUGAUAAUCUUAUUAUUCAGAUAAAUUAACUUUAAUUUAAUUUAAUUUAAUUCUGAACCAACACUAAAAUAUCUAUAUCACAUUCUAAAAAAAUCUUUGAACUUUUUUUUUUAUGGUAGAAUUCAAGCCCCAUCACAUCUAUUUUCAGAAUCAUUAUAUUUAACCUUCAUUUACUAUAAUGGGUCAAUCAAGUUGUUUUUACCAUAAUAAGGAUAGGUUUGGAUGGGCAGUACAUUUACAUGCGAUUAGUAUAAAUUAAUAGUGGUGACGGUGAGAUUAAAUAUUGUAAUAAUACUAUAACGUGAGACAAAAAGUAAGCUAAACGUACAGUAUUGCACCCAAUUAGCCAUCUAAACCCACCCUCUAAGUCUACCAAAACUCUCACUAUUGCUCUUCUUUUCCUUUUCAAGAUUUUGGAGGACAGUGACAAGUUUGGAUUUUAUUAAGUUUAGAUUUUAUUUCUCAAUUAUUAGCAAAGCCAAAACCCCCAUCAUCUUCAACUGUAUAUAGUCAAUCUAGUUUUUCCCCAAAAGUCUACAACAACUCUCCAAUAUAUUAUACGUAAUUCACUUCCUAUAUCUACAAUAAUAAGAGCAAGACUGUCUAAUAUAGUUAAAUAAGUGCUCGCAAGUUGGUGAACAUGACUAAUCUCAAAUUGUAAAGUGGAUAAGGUGCAUGUAAGUAUGAUACUUUCAAGGUUUGAGUGCAAACAAAUAACCCAAUAUGUAGAUUAUGUUAUUCCUUGGACUGGUAAUUUUGGCUGAUAAUAAGCCUUAAACAUAGCCGAUGUUGAGUUUCUUGUACACUGUUUUUAAAGAUUUUUAGAUGCUAAAACCUACGAUAGAUGAUAGACCUCGUCCCAAGUUACUUUACUAGUCUUGGGUUAAUGCCUGAAUGGCCCCAGUUACACUUUUUAAACAGUGAAAAAAAGUGACAAUUUCAAACUAUGUAAGCGGGUCUUGAGGGGGAAAAGCCUUGAAAUUUGCUUGCUACCAAAAUCCAAAAAUUUACCGGCCAUGGCCUAAGAUUCUAAGCCAUAUGUGCUUAUGAAGCAAAUUGAUAAAGAAAUUACUGAGCUGAUUGAUGUUAAGCAGCAAAUAAACACAACAUAAUUUUAUAGUACCGUAAUACAGGCUAAGGGUAUUCAAGAAAGAGUAAUAUAGGAUCACUUAUCAAUCACAUAUGGUUGCUGGAACCAAACAAUGUCUUAUCAAAUUCUAAAAUCCAUAGAAAAAAGGAAAAAGUAGGCAAAGAGUAUUCCUAAAUCUGCAAAGUCGAUGGCAAUGUUUUAAAUAACUCAAAAGUUGAGUGGUAAAUUCCUAAUCAACACCCUUUAUAAACUCCAUUUGAGAACAUGGUUCUGGAUUCCCCUUAUACAAUAAAAAUGGUGGUUGGUCCUUCUUACCUAAAAACCUUGCACCCCCUUCAAGCCUUUUCAUUGAAAUCACCAUCUUCAACCUUAGGCUUCAUGAAAAUCAAAGCUCUAAUUCACACCCUUGUCUAUGCUCAGUUUUAUCGUCUAAUUCGAGCAUUUUCCAAAGCAAAAUCUACUUUCAUUCUAAUUUGUAAACAAAGCAAGCCUAUUCAAUAUUUGAUUUCCAACUCAAAGACCACAAGAAAGAAGUACAAGCACAAGAAACUCUUCUUUGGUUCAUUCAGGCUACACUAUAAUUGGUGCUCUUCUCAUGUAACACCAGUUCCAGCUCCAGUUCUAGAAGCAACUCAUUCGACCUGGAAUUCAGCGGUUUCAACUGAUCAGCAAUGUGAUGAGGACACUGUGGAGUCUGAGCUUUCAGGUUACCUUCAAUGGCUAGAAGAAAAGAAGGGUAAUGGUAAUUCUACUGUUGAGACAGAUAUCAAUGAGAUUGAUAAGCUAGCAGAAAUGUUUAUAGCUAAUUGCCAUGAAAAGUUCAGGUUGGAAAAGCAAGAGUCUUAUAGGAGAUUCCAGGAAAUGUUGGCUAGAAGCAUGUGAAGGGUUUUCUUAAUUAUUUGCUAAUAAUCCUUUUUUUUUUUGUUAAUUUUAUAUCCUAGUAAAACUUUUCACCUCUUAUAUAUUUUGUGUUUGGAGAAUUGUAUACAUGAUAAGAGUGUGGGGUGCUUACUCCUAUUCUUCCCUUAAAUUUGUGGUGACAGGCCCUCCUUUGUAGGAAUAGAAGAAAAAAAUCCAGUGCAAAUUUCCAGAAUUGUAUGAUCACUUUCAUUGAGACAGCUGGUAGAUGAAUGCUUAUCCACUUUGAUUAAUAUAUUAGGUUAAUUUGGGAUCAGUAGCUUUAUCAUUUGUUAAAGUUAUACAUAGAGUUGUUACACUUCUACCAAUGUAAUUAAGCCAACUUUUUCAACCAACUUGUGUAAGAAACAUGAACAUCUGAAAUUAAUUAUUAGUUCACUGAUUUUGUCAUGGGAAGUGUACUAGAUUCAAUGUCUAAAUGACAUAUAAUCUCCUUGCUCUAAUUCCUUUAUACCUAUUUUUUUACGAAGUCAAAGCAAUUGGGGAAUCUUCUUAUCUAUUCAAAACAAUGAUAUGAAGCUCCCCAAAGAAAGGCAAACUAAAGGAAAAACAUUUUGUUGAACCUACUACAAAUCCUAAAAAAGGAAUGAUGAUCUUGAUGAAUCUCAUAUAUGAUGAAAGGCACAUGUAUAUGGCCAUGGCAUGAAGCUCUUGUGACAUAAGGUACCCAUUGACAUAAUCAAAGACACAUCCUUGUUAGCUUAACUUUCAUACACAAAUUAAUUCAAUUUGAUUGAAUGAUAAGGAGUUUGAUACUUUUAAAUAAAGUCUUGAUUUUGAAUCUUGUGAAUGGAGAAAAUAGAUAUUAAAAAAAAAUUUUCUUUACCCAACUCGAUAUAACUUUGAAAUAGUCGAUGCCAAUAUGACUACACUAGGAGAUCUUCAACUAGAUGCAAAACUUUAGUAAAGUCAAGGACACCUUACACUCACCACAAAGAUUUAUGAGAAAAAUUAUAGAAAUAUGAACCCCUAGCUGUGAUUUAUUGGUCAACCUUCCCAAAAAUAACAUAAGUUAAAAUCUUGUAAUAUAUAUAUAUAACUAUUAAAAUUGCAUUAUCAUUUAUUUUUCAUUUUACAUUGCGAUGAUUGUUUUUAAACUUGUCAAAUUAAUUGAUUUGUUGUAAAUAUUAAUUUACAAAUUAAUUGAUUAUCUCUUAAGAGCAUGUGGCACAUCCAUGCUAACCAUGACAACUUCUUCGUGAAGAUUCUUUUGAGUCAAAGCAAGAGCCUCGAAAUUUCUUAGUGACGUUUGUUGAUUACCAUGAGCACAAAUGCUCAUUUGACCAGGCCUUAGUUGUUGUUAGCUAGUUGAUACUCACAGGUGUCACUGAUAGGGUUGAUAGGGGUAUGGUUCGGCCUUCUUUAAUUUUUUGAAACUUCUUUUGCAAAAUCUGACAUAGUUGUUGUGAUGGUCACUAAACUAAUUAUAAAUACAACUAAGGCAAGCGCAUCUAUCGAAUAAUAGUAUAGUUAUGGUGAGUAGGGAAUAUUGUAUCCACGAGGACUAAAAGUACUAGUAAUUACCAUUUUUCUAUUAUUUAGCCGACAAAUUGGAGCGGUUGUUUUUAAUCUAAAACUACUAAACUAAUCUAAGUAAGAACGCAACAGAGAAUGAAAUAGAAAAAUAAUCGAAGAUAACCAAUGAGAUAGACAAUACAUAGGAAAGAAUCCACCUAGACUUCACCUAUUAUUAUGAAUUUGAAUUAAACAAUUUAUUCACUUGUGUCUUGAUCGGUAGAAAUCCCUAAAUUAUGUUAAUAUCUUUUUCGAGAGUAAGAACAAUUGACUCUAGGUUGAUUAAUUGAAAUCUCUUUUUAAUUAAAACUCUUAUUGUCGCAUUAACUCGAUCUAUGGAUUCCCCUAUUAGAUUUGACUCUAAUCCGGUAGAUUUAUGUUAUCUUAUUUCUAGGAUUACAUGUAACUCCAUUCAAUUAUCCUAGAUCUACUCUUAAACAGGGACUUUUGCUCCACUGAAAUAAGCACAUUGAACUUGAAUUAAUAUCUUAGAAAUAUUAAUUAAAACAAGAAAUAAGCAUACAUAAUUGAGAACAAGAAUCAAGUAUUUAUCACGUAAACCAAAAAUCAAAUAAUAAGAUUCAUCAUUGGUUUCAUCUUCCCUAGGUAUCUAGAGAACUUAGUUCAUAAUCUUGAAUGAAAACAUCUCAAAGUCAGAAUAACCACAAGACAUAAAGAAACUCAAUAAAACUUCGAAAGAAAUUAAAUGGAGAUCUUCGAUCUUGAGUGAGAUCCGCUUCUGAGUUGAUUCUGAUGGCGUUCUUCGAGUGCUUUCUUCGAUCUUCUCUCAGUGCCCCUCUUAGGUCAUCUUCUAAUUGGUAUUUAUAGACUUUAGAAUGCUCAGAAAGCCUAAAAAUCAGGUUUUUUUCGCGUAUUUGGGAAACAAGGUGCGACACCGACACGGGCUGGCACAUGGGCUUGUGGCCAGCUCGUGCGGCUCACACGGGCAUGUGGCCAGCCCGUUUGGAAAUGCCCAGGCCGUGUGGAUCCUAGAAACAGCUCUAUUUGUCCGAUUUUGGCUCGUUUUUCGCUCUUUUUGCUCUCAAAUGCUCUUCUAAGUAUAAAGACAUGAAUUUAAAGGAUUAGGAGCAUCAAAUUCACUAAUUUAUAUAAUUAAUCAUCCAAAAACGCAUUAAGAAUGGGAUUAAAAAUAUGUUACUUUUAUGGCUUAUCAUGUUGCAACUUAUGCAAGAGCACGCGAGGGCCAAAUAAGUACUUAUACUUGUGUUUGGAAUGAUACCUACUAGUCAUGCAAUCCAUGAGUUUGAGAAUUGUGGAGAAGAUCCAAAUGGUUAAAAGCAAAAAUUAAAGUUAUGUUGAAAAUCUGAAAUAAAUCUAGUAGGAUUCCAUGGUGCCAACUUUGAUUGGACUUUUCAAGUCUUUUUGACAAUCUUUUGGUGUGAUUCUAGUGUCCAAAUCAUAUAGGUUCAAGUUAUCUUCAAAAUGGUUUUGAAUCACCUAAUUUUGAGGUCUAUAGCUAAAGAUGUGAUUGCUUUCAUAAAAUAAUACAUUUCCCUACAGGAAGUUCAAGCUUUAUCACAACAUUUCAUAAAGAUGAAAUGAAUUGUCAUUGUAGAUAUGAAAUGUAAUGGAGUUGAUCAGAUAGUAAUGUUAACAAGUAAUGGUUAAGCUUUUGUAUGUAAGGGAUUGAAUGCGUGCGUAGUUCUCUUAAUAUACUUAAGAUAUCAUUUAGGUUCUAAAUGGUAAGAAAUAAAAUUGUAUGCUAUACUUAUUGAUUGUUUGCUUAUAAUAUGUUUUAGUUGCCUUAAUUGUAUAACAAAAAGUAAGAUAAUAUUGAAGUCAUAUUGAGCACCACUAAGCAUAGGGGUAUGGUCAGUGCGUUGAAUUCGUUUUCCAUGCAUAAGUUGAGGAUCAGACACGAGAAGAAGUAGCAAAGCUCUGCACUAAUCCCAAGUUACAUCACACUAAAGUACAUUUGUGCUUUCAAAUUCUUUUGAUUAUGUACAAAGUUAUGGAUAUUAGUUGGUACGUACUUAGGGAUGUUUUGUAUUUCACUCAGUACUUGUUAUUAGUGGGAGAAGUUAUGUUUAAUUAUGGCAUUUAUGAUUAAGUAUGCAUAUGUGUUUCAUAUGGCAUAAGAUUAUAUGGUAAAUUUUAUGGCAUGUUGAAUGGUAUUUUGGUUAGCAAUUAGCUUUAUAAUAGUUGAGUAUUAUUUUUUAUACGUGAAUUUUGGAUUAUUCUACAUCAAGUACCGUACUUUGUUACCAAUACCCAUUAAAGUUUCUAGAACAACAUUUCGCUAAAAUAAUUAUCCCUUAUAACAAUAUUUCGUUAUAACAAUUAAAUUUUUAGAAGAAUCAAUUUUUAUAUUUUAUUUUAACCCUUAAUAACAACUUGUCACUUAUAACAAUAACAUUCAUACUUAUGAAGUAUAUUCUUUAUUAAAUUAGUUCUCUAUAACAACAUAUUGUCUAAAUUUUUAAGUGCAAUUAUAGUUAUUUAUAUAAGCAAGCCUAUUAAUUAUCAUUUAUUAAAUGAAAAUUAUCUCAAUUAAAGUAUUAUUUCAAUAAAAUGAUUUAAAAGAUAUUUAUUUGAUGAAAAUUCAUUAUAUGAAUUCUAUUGUAUUCUUAAAAGUUAAAACAAUUAUCUCUUCUAUAAUGAAUUCGUUAUAAGUUCAGAUCAUAUCUAUUCUUUUUGACACAAUGCUUAGAACUACACAUAGCCCCUCCUCAACCCAUAAAUAGGAAAAUAAUACACUCCAACGCACUUGACCCCACGUCCUCUUGUAUUGGUAACAAUGCUCAUACCAGUCGAAUUAAGACUUUAUCGACUUAUAUAUAAGAUUUUUAAAACCAAGUGUAGAUACAACAAUUUCACAAAUUGAUUGAUAUAUAUAUAUAUAUAUAUAUAUAUAUAUAUAUAUAUAUAUAUAUAUAUAUAUAAACAAGAUAUAUACACAUUUGCAUAAAACCAAGCAUAAUCUAAGAUUAAUCAUUUCACUAGAAAAGCACUUCAUAUUUAUGUUUAUGUAUAUACAAAUAAGAUUAUCAUGUAUAAGAAUUUAUAAACAACUUAUAAAAUCUUUUGAUGCGAAACUUCAUAGGUUAUAUAGACUAUACCAUUCCCAACAUUAACCAAGGAAAAAAAGCAUGCAAGUGAGAAAGCUAAUGCAAAAUGGCAUAAACUUUGACAUUUACAAAACAUAUAUAAGGGUGUCAUUCGGCGCUAAAAUUGUUUCAGUUUCAUUUGCUAAAACUUGAGAUCAUAUAACUUGACAGGCAGCAUGACUAAAGCUGAAAAUGUACCACACCAAAAAAUGGAAAUCCUACAAAAGAAACAUUCUAGUACACAAGUUGUGGUUCAAAUUCAGCAAAAUCAACAGAUCCAGAUUCGAUCGGCGGCAUCAGAUACGUAGCUAGGAGCUCUGAAGCCAAUGCUGCAAUUAAUGGAAUCCUCUUCAAGUUCUUCACCAAUGGAAUAUCAGAGGUCUCCCCAACAGCAAGCAACUGUUCAUUGAUCUCAACCAUUUUGUC
Molecule: long non-coding RNA, 61684 nt
Filed under: Gossypium raimondii (Peruvian cotton)
Lineage: Eukaryota; Viridiplantae; Streptophyta; Magnoliopsida; Malvales; Malvaceae
Description: long non-coding RNA (GRAI_LNC001670)
Source: RNAcentral